This 61745-nucleotide long non-coding RNA is filed under the name Vitis vinifera (wine grape). RNAcentral describes it as "long non-coding RNA (VVIN_LNC000686)". Lineage: Eukaryota; Viridiplantae; Streptophyta; Magnoliopsida; Vitales; Vitaceae. The record is from RNAcentral.
GGUAGUGAUUGAGGCGGAUGAAGGUAGUUGAUUCUUCAAAGAAAAGAUUGAAUCUGUUUUCCGGCAAACCUAAGCUCAGAGAGAUGAGUCCCAACAUCUUGAAAGCUAGUUUUUCCAUUUCUCUAGCAUAUUCUUCACAUACCUCCCUGUAUAAAUUGGUUCAAUUAGAACCAAAAAACCAAGUAAAUCAUUGAAGUGACUCUGCCUUAGCUGGUGGAAUUUGUACCUUAAUUCAGGAGAGUACUGAGGCCACUGAUUGAUCAACUCUUUGAGCUCCUUGUCGUCAGGAUCAGGCGAAGCAGGGAUGAAGGCGGGGGAUGACACCACGAAAUCAAAGACUUCCUUCCAGUCCCUAACGUUCUUGGUAUGCUCAGUAUCAAAAUACCACAAAGGAUUCACCCCAUCUCUACUCACCUUCCUCUUCUCCUACAAUGGCAGAGCGAAGAACUUCCUCGCCGCAUCCUCAAUUUUCCGGCGAGACUCCGAGGGCAUCCCAUGGUUGAUGACUUGAAAGAAGCCUCGAUUCUUGGAUGCAUCAGCUAUUUGAGAAACAUGGUUAGAGGCAUUGGCGGAAGAGAGAUCAAUGAGUGGGAUGCCUUCAGCUUCGAUAACAACGAGCUUAGGCCCAUGUUGGGUGUCUUGGAUGAAGGCUGGAUCGACCUCUCCCAUGGCUGUGGUAGUGAUUAGAACCUAGAAAUGGUGGUUAUGCACUGGUAGCUGCAGGUUGAGAUUGUGAAGGGGACUUGGGCCACUUGGCAGGUGAUUUUUGUAGUGUAGUGGGGUUGGUUUGGUUCAUUGAACCUUGACAUAAUGACAUAAAUGGGAUACGUUUUAUAAGUUCAAGGAAUCAUGGUAUUUGGAAAAUAUGAAUGAGUUGAAAAUUUUAAAAAAUAGGUUUAUAGGAGUAUAUUUUAAGGAAAAUAAUUUUCAAAUCAUAUCAUGUAUAGGAUAGUGACUUUGUACAUGUUUGAGGGGAAUCAUGUCAAAGUGCACUAUUUGAAAAACAUGGCUAAAUUGUAAACUUAAAAAAGUGGUUUCAUGGAGAGUACAUUAUGAGAAAAAUAAUUUCCAAAUCAUGUACUAAAAUAAUAACUGUAUCCAUGCUUCCAAAACUACUAUUCAACAUAUUUUCAUCAUGUCACAUUUUCCUAUGACGUCAUUGCCCUCAUUUCUUAGAAGAAAAACCCUUUCUGUUCUACUUUACUUUACACUGUUUGUUCCUAUAACCCUUUCCUUUUUUUAAUUUUAAUUUUUUUAAAAAAAUAUUUCUCAUCUAUUUUCUCGAUUUUUAAAAUUCUAUUUAAUUAAAAAAAUUAGAAUUUUUUUUAAAGUACAAUUCAUUUAUUUAUUUUUUCAUUUUAUUUAAAUGUGAUGUAUAAUUAAUACAUUAACAUAAAUUAGUUUUUAAUAUAAAAAUAUAUUCAUCUAUAAUAAUUAAAAAUCUAAUAAAUAAAUAAAUAAAUAAAUAUUAGUAUUUUAAAUAAUAUUGAUUUCGUAUAUACAAUAUUUUAUUUUGUUUCAUUAUUAUAGAUCUCAUUUUCUAUAUUUUUUAUUUCUAAUUUUUCUUAUAGAAUUUUAAACCUAGAUUUUUUAAAAAUGAAAUUUAAAAAAACACUAGAAAUUAAAGUUUUUGUUUUCUUCAAAAUAAAAACAAAAAAAAAAUAAUAUACAAAAAAAAAAUAUUAGUUUACCUUUAAUUUCAUUCAACAAAAAAUUAGUAAUGAUAAUUUUUUAAGAGUAUUUAAUUUUAAAAGUAAUAUUUGAAGAUAGGUAAAAUAAAAAUUUUAAAAGUGUUUGUAUUAAAAUUUUGAAUAUAAAUUCACAACUCCCAUCAUAAUACAUUGAUAUUUAAAAUAAAAAAAACCCCUAAUGAUUUUUUUUUAUUAUAUUAAACAUGUAAAAAAAGUACAUUUUUGUUUAAUUAAAAAUUUAAACCAUUAAAAUUGUUUUUUUCUUUAAUAAAUAAUGUUUUUAAAGAGUACAUUAUACCUAUUUUUUUGGGCAUGUUAUUUAAUAAUUGCUACCAAAGUCAUAACAAUGACAAUAAAAAACUAAAUAUAAUAGUGCAUAUUUGCUAUCUAUAGUGGUACUUUUAGUUACUAACAUUAUUAUUUUUAAGUAAAAAUAAUGUUAUUAUUUCCUGACAUAUUUGAUGUAGAGGUUGAAGUGAUGACAGUGCUAAAUAAGUUAGUACAUCCUAUUAUCUACAGUGAUAUUUUUAGUUACUAUUAUUAUUAUUUUUAGGUAAAGACAAUGUUACUAUCUCUAGUGAUACAUUUGAUGUAUGGAUUGGAGUGGUGAUAGAUGAUGUAACAACUGUGUAUAUGGGGUCAAUCAAGUGUAAUUGUCCUCUUAUUUGUAUAGAUCGCAACCCACCUCCGACAGUGGUUGAAAAGUAGUCUUGGAAGCAUAUCACCAAAGGGACAUUUUGAAUAAUAAUUUGGGAAAAAGCGUUCAUCAGACAUAGCCUAAAAAGUAUAUCCCAACAUUGCUGUUUAUUUAUCAAGCAAAUUACAUUAUUAUUGUCACACCAAACCUCCAAAUUCAACAUGUACUUAGCCUAUAUACUGGAUGGUGAACGGGCUAAAACAAGCUCUUACUGAUUACAGAUAGAUACUGUCCUACUGACACUUUUACUCUGAUACCUUGAAAUGAGAAAUUUGGAGGUUUUCCACAUCAAGCUUCUUGAAAUUGCUGCGCCUUCUCGCAGAAAAGAACUUUCCCCAGUUGUAUGCUCUGUAAUUUUGCUUUUCCCCCUUCGUCAGCUCCUCCAAGGGCUUCACCCAAACAUGCUGCCCGGGAUUGAAAGAGAACGGAAUCGAAAACCUUUCCCUCUCUGAAUUCACAGUCACCCUGUGCUCCACACUUUCAUAAGUAUCAUUGCUCCAGGCCUGGUUUAAUAUCAGUAUAAUUAGCCAAAUGGGUGUAACUGAGCCAAACAGUACUGAUAAGCAUGUACUUAUAAUUCGAAGUUCUUGGGUGGUACCUGAAUUAUAUCCCCAACAUUGAUGAUAUAAGCAUCUGGGGUGGGCUUAACUCGAAUCCAUUCUCCAUCGGUUUUUCGCUUUACUUCCAACCCUCCGACAUCAUCCUGAGCAAGGAUGGUUAAGGCUCCGCCAUCCUUGUGGCGACCAACGCCCAGAGCUAGGUGAGGGAUGGGGCAAGGUGGGUAGUGUUUGAGGCGGAUGAAGUUCGUUGAUUCUUCAAAGAAAAGAUUGAAUCUGUUUUCCGGCAAACCUAAACUCAACGAGAUGAGUCCCAAUAGCUUGAAAGCUAAUUUUUCCAUUUCUCUAGCAUACUCUUCACAUACCUCCCUAUAUAAAUCAGUUCAAUUAGAACAAAAAAGAUAAGUAAUUCACUGUAGUUAUUGUGCCUUAGCUGGUGAAAUUUGUACCUUAAUUCAGGAGGGUACUGAGGCCACUGAUUGGUCAGCUCUUUGAGCUCCUUGUCGUCAGGAUCAGGCGAAACAGGGAUCACGGUGGGGGUUGACACCACGAAAUCAAAGACUUCCUUCCAGUCCCUAACGUUCUUGGUAAGCUCCGAAUCAAAAUACCCCAAAGGAUUCACCUCAUCUCUACUCACCUUCCUCUUCUCCUCCAAUGGCAGAGCGAAGAAUUUCCUCGCCGCACCCUCAAUUUUCCGGCGAGACUCCGAGGGCACCCCAUGGUUGAUGACUUGAAAGAAGCCCCAAUUCUUGGAUGCGUCAGCUAUUUGAGAAACAUGGUUGGAAGCAUUGGCGGAAGAGAGAUCAAUGAGGGGGAUGCCUUCAGCUUCGAUAACAGCGAGCUUAGGCCUAUGUUGGGUGUCUUGGAUGAAGGCUGGAUCGACCUCUCCCAUGGCUGUGGUAGUGGUUGGAAGUUAGAAAUGGGGGUUAAGCACUGGUGGCAGCAGGUGUAGAUGGUGACGGGAAAUUGGGCCACACGGCAGGUGGUUUUUGUAGUGUGGUGGGGUUGGUUUAGUACAUUGAACCUGGGCAUAAUUUGGGUUACUUUUUAAGGUUUGGUUGAGGGUGUGACCUCAUGGAUUGCGCAUAUAUUAAUGAUAAUUGGUCAAGUGAUACUGCAGUCCCAAAGGGAAUCUCUCUCAAUGAUUUUGCCGACAGCUCCCUCCACAUUAAAAUGUUUCAUCCGUAUUUGAAUUGGAGUCUAAUGCUCUGAUCAAAGAUACCUUUCGCUUAGUCGAUCAGUGUUUGAUUACUAAAUAAGAUGGUGUCACAAAUAUUUUUGAAUUCUAGGUCAAAGUUAACGAGUGCAAAGGUUAUCAAUUUGAUAAGAUAAAUUGUUUAGAAACACUUUUAAAAAUGAUUCUUGAAAAAAUAUUUUUUUAAGUUUAAAAACCAUUUUUAAAUUUAGAAUAAAGGUUUAUUUAAAAACUUAUAUUAUUAUAAACUUAUUUUUUAUAUUUUUAAAAAAUAAUUUUUAUAUAUAAUAUUUUAUUUUCAAUCAUUUUUUACAUUUUUUUUAAAAAGGUAAAACUACUAAAAAAAAUACUUAAAAUAAGUUAUCAACAAAUGUCUUAUUGUCAUGACAAUUUUCAAAAACAUGUUUUAGAAACAAUUGAAAAUCAAAGUAUUUUCAUAUUCCUUUAUUCCCAAAAACAAAAAAUUAUUCUUGGUAACGGUUCCAAAUGUAUCCUUCAUUUGUUUAUCUUAUUAUAUAAGUUUUAAAAUAAAAUACAAAAAAUAAUUUUCAAUGAUAAUUUGUUACGGUUUUAUCCAAAAUUUUUAUAUUUUUAAUCAAUUAAUUUAUUGAUACGUAUAUUUCUCAUGAGACCUUUUUCUCACUAAAAACAUUACUUUUUUAUAAGACAUUUUUAAUAAAUUAAUUUUGAUACGUAGAUUAAAAAUGUCUUAUAACAAUAUAAAUUAAUUAAAUCAUUAGUUGGCCAUUUGGUCUCAUGCUUACACAACGACUUCUCUCAUGGCUGCCUAACAUGAAUGAACAACUCUCUACAACAAGUAAGGUACACUUAAUUAAAAAAUUAUUUAAUUUAAAGAUGUUCGAGAAUGAGAAUUUCAAGUAGCACUUGAAUGAAUUUAAUGAGACCACAAAUUAAUUAAAUUCGAUGGUUAUUAAAUUUGAUGAUAAGAUUCAAGCCUUAUUAAUCCUCGGUUAAUUGCUUGAGAGUUGGAAAGACACAAUCACCUCAAUCAAUAGUUCAUCCAAAAAAUCAAAAUUGGUGUUUUCGAAUGUAGUAGACAUGAUUAUAACCGAGGAGAUCAAGAAGCAUGAAGAAGGUUUUUCAAAUUCAUGAUCAACAUUAAAUAUGGAGAGCAAAGCUAGAAAUCAUAAUAAAGGUAAUAGGCGUGAUAAAUCCAAAUCGAGGAAUGAUAGGUUGAAAUACAAAAAUUCCAUAAAUUCCUAACAUCAGACGAGUAAGAACAAUAUCAAAUGUUGGAAUUGUGAUUGGAGCUAAAAUAUGUGCUCAAAUGACAUAUAUUUGAUAUGAUUUAUAUAUCAUAAGACACUCAAAUCAUCUGACUCUACCCAAAUUGAUACUAAGGUCCUAGCCAUGAGUUUAACUUGUAUUUUGGAGAUUUAUCUCAGGUUUAAGAAAAGAAAAUGGUGUAAGGUGAAUCAAUUUAGAUUUUGAAAGAAUAAGAAGGGGUUAAAUGAGAAAAUGAACAAGUCAAGACUCAUGAAAUAUGAAGAAAGGAAAGACGAGGAUAUCGUGAGUUUGGGAGAUGAGGAAUGACCAUUAUCAUGAAGUAAGAAAUAAGGCAUACAAACAUAGAAAAUGAGGCAUGAAACAAAAUUCAUCAAGUUUGCAUGGAAAUUUGGGACUCAAAAUCUGGUAAUAACAUAUACUCUGACUUUAAAAUGAAAUUUGGAGCAUUUCCCAAAGUCCAUUUUAGGCAAGCUAUAUAUUGUUUUGAAGCAUGGGAAGUUAGGAAUUCAAAGCUUCAAACAAUGUCCAAAUUAGAGCUAAAUAAGGAAGUUAUGCACAUUUAAAGCAAACUAGUUAGAGAGAAAAACUGAGUUCGAAAUUGGUCACUUGGAUUUGAAAUGGUUUUUGUCCAUUUAAAACUCAAAGAAAUGAAAGAAAACUUUUGGCAUUGGCUAAGUUUGAAUCUCUUUACCUAUUUCAAACAAGAGGCAUACAUUUCAAAGUCAAAUGAACAUACAUGGGCAGUGAGUGAGUUCAAAAUUCACUAUGAAUUUUGAACUCACCUUGUUGAUUUCAAAUUGGACCAUUUAUUUCCCACUUAUGAGUUCAAAAUUGAUUUGAACUCACCCAAAUUUCGAACUCAACCAUUAGUGACCGAUUUUAGGCUCUGAGACAUGUCAAAACGAGUUUCAAAUGCCUUUAUCCAAUUCAAAACGCAUCAUACUCAUUUAGAACUCGUAAUUUUUGGGGUUUUUUUUAAAGGUUAUUUAUGACUUUUCGUUACAAUAAGUGGCCAAUGAGAGUGUACCACAUGUUAGGUCAUUGAAGUUACUAUAAAAACUCUUUUAGUUAUAGUGUUUAGGUGAUCUUCCAAGAGUUAGACAUUUCGUGGGGAAGAAUACGAGAACUUUUGGUUUAUUUAUUUUCUUCUUUAUUGAAUGUAUUGUUUUUAGUUUCCUUUAUUUCAAAUUAUGAAUUUUUACUUUAUUAUGGAUUGUGAAUGUGACAUUACCCCCAUGAGAGGAUAAAAAGCUAACUUGGGGCUUAAACAUAAAAACUAACGGUUAGAAAACUUAUAGGGACAUUAGGUAAAUUAUUAUAACAAUAAGAUUAAUUAAUGGUUGAGUUACAAUUUAUUAAUUUUUUAUCCUAUCAUUGUGAGUUAGUUUAGAGAAUAAUAUAGUAGGUGAUUAUUCGAUACUAGUGAUUCUUGGUAACUCUUGAUCAUUAGUAAUCCUGAUUUUUCUUAUAGUUAUCUGCCCCAAAACGAAGUUAGAAGGAGUAGGAAAUGUUAAAAAGCCAAACCUUAAAUUGAUAAUAAUUUCAUUCAUUUGAUGUGUUGACAAAUCAGAGGGUUGGCUGCAUCCAUCAACUCUCUUUGUGUUCGCCGUGAGCACUUGGGUGAAUGCACUAUAAGGUUAGAGUAUGCACAUUUCUUAACAGCAAUUGCUUUUAGGAGAAUUGGUAGUGCCUGAGGUCCUACAUGAUAGUUUUAAGAACUUGUUUUAAAAAGAAAAAUUAAGUUUUAGAUGUACUUUUGAGUUAUAGGGCUCAAGUUGAUUGCAAGCGGCCAAGAAUCCCAAAACCCUAAGAUCACUCUAGUUAAGAAACCUUUGUUAUCUCUAUUUCUAUACCUUAAGUUAUAUUGUGGAAAACCUCAAACUUAAAUCAAUUAAAUUAAAAAUCAAUAUUCGUUUUGUUAUUAAUUUAGUUUUUUUUUUUUUUUACUUAGUUUCACUUCAUAAAAGUUAAUUCACAUAUUGUUUUUCGCUUUAGGAUUUAAAUAAAAACAAUUCAUUUAUCCUAGUAUUGAAAAAUUCCAUAUGUUAGUCCCUAAGGAUGAUACCCAAAGAAUUACAAAAACCAUAGUGACUAUUUCUCUAGUUUUUUCUUAACCAAAGUUACUAUGUAAAAAGGCUUAGUAUUUUACAUAAGAGAGAAGAUUGAUCAAAUUGUGGAAAGAAGAGACAUUAUAAAAAUGAGUGUAAGGCUGCCAAGAAGGAUAAGGAUGGUGACAACAAGACCAAUGCAAAUGUUGUGUCAAAAGAAUUAGAUGAUGCUCUUAUCUGCUAUUUAGAGAGAACAACAUAAUCGUGGGUAUUAGAUUCAGGGGCAUCGUUCCAUGCUACCUCAAGUGGAGAAUUAUUUGAGAAUUAUGUCUCAGGUAAUCUAGGGAAGAAGUAUCUAGGUGAUGACCAAGCAUGUGUUGUUAUUGGCAUAAGUGAAGUGCAUAUCAAAUAUUUGAAUGGAUUUGUAUGGAAUUUGGACAAUGUGAGGCACAUUUCAAACCUGAGAGAUAAUUUUAUUUCCAUUGGGUAGUUAACAAAAGAUAGUUAUGUGACAACUUUUUUAGGUGACACAUGGAAUAUCUCAAAGGGAGCUAUUUGCCAUGGCAAGAAGAAUGAUACUCUUUACAUGACAAUGAAUGGUUGUGGGUUUAUUACAAUUGUUGAGAGCAAAGAAGAUUCGAAUUUAUGGCAUUAAAGGCUUGGUCACAUGAGCAAUGAGGGGUUGGAAAUUAUACACUCAAAUGGGAAGUUGUCAAGUUUGAAAUAAGUUGACAUUGACAUGUGUGAAAAUUGCAUACUUGGGAAACAAAGAAGGGUUAGCUUUAAGAAAGUUGGAAAAACUCCAAAAGAAGUAAAACUGAAGUUAGUUUAUACAAAUGUUUGGGGACUUGCUUCAAUUUCAUCUAUCGGUAGAAGAUUUUUUUUUGUGACCUUCAUUGAUGAUCAUUUGAGGAAAGUGUGGGUAUACUUUAUGAUACACAAAUGAGAAGUGUUUGAUGUAUUCAAGAGACGGAAAACAAUGGUGGAGAAUAAGACAUGUAUGAGAGUCAAGAAGUUACGGUUUGAUAAUGGUAGGGAGGAUGAAGAAUUUGAGUUCAAGAAGAUCUAUUAUGAAAAUGGAAUUAAAUUAGAGAAGACCGUGCCAAGGACACCUUACCAGAAUGGUAUAGCAUAAUGAAUGAACAAGACAUUGACUGAAAGAGAAAAAAAACGUGUAUACAAGCAAGGUUGUCAAAGGAGUUCUUGGCAAAAGCAAUCAACAAAACAACUUACUUGAUCACAAAAUACUGGAAAAAGUGUGAACUAAAAAAAAGGUAAAGUUUUCUCAUUUGAGGGUAUUUGGUUGUGUAUCAUAUAUAUAUAUAUAUAUGUGUGUGUGUGUGUGUGUGUGUGUGUGUGUGUGUGUGUGUGUGUGUGUAUACAUAUUAGUGAUCAUGACAUAAACAUACUUGAUGCUAAAUCACUAAAAUGUACUUUCUUAGCUAUGGUGUUGAUAAUUUUGGUUAUUAGUUUUGGGAUGACCAGAGUAAGAAAGUGAUUAGAAGUAAGGAUGUCGAUUAGAAGUAAGGAUGUCAUAUUUAAUGAGAAAGUUUUGUAUAUGUAGAGAGAUGCAACACAUUCCAAUAGUCUGGUACAACUUGAACCUAUUUACUUUGAGCCAAAUGAUGUCCCAUUGAAUAACAUGACAAAUAAGACAGGUCAUAAUCAUUAGAUUGAGGAAAAUACUGCAUAAGAUGUUAAUAUAUCACAAGAUCUAGUUUCAAUUCCUACUUUGAGGAGAUCUAACAAGCCACAUGUACCAAAUAGGAAGUAUUUAAAUUAUUUGCUACUAAUAGAUGGAGGUGAACCUAAAUGUUAUGAUGAGGCAUGUCAGAUGGAAGAUAAUAGAAAGUGGGAGCUUACGAUGAAAAAUGAAAUGAAGUCCCUUAUUCUUAACCAGACUUGGAAGCUAGUCGAGUUACCAAUGGGUAAGAAAGUUUUUCAUAAUAAGUGGGUGUAUUAAAUUAAGUAGGAGCAUGGUGGUUCUAAGAGAUAUAAGGCUAGAUUGGUGGUCAAAGGGUUUCAAUAGAAGAAAAAUGAUUGACUAUACAUACAUUUUCUCUCUAGUUGUGAAACUAACUAUUAUUCAAUAUGUUUUGAGUAUUGUAGCAAUAAAGAGUUUACAUAUAGAACGGUUAGAUGUGAAGAUAGCUUUCCUCUAUGGUGAUUUUGAUGGGGAAAUUAGUAUAUAUGCAACAACUAGAGGGUUUUGUAGUGAAGGGUAAAGAGAAUCUGGUGUGCAAAUUAACUAACAGUCUGUAUGAUUUAAAACAAGCCCCAAGACAAUGGUAUAGAAUAUUUGGUAGUUUCAUGCAAAAGAAUAGGCAUCUCAAGUGCAAUGCAGACCAUUGUUGUUACUUUAAGAGAGUUGGUUCUAUCUAUAUUAUUUUGUUACUUUAUGUUGAUGGCAUGUUAGUAGUUGACGCAAAUCUAGAUGAAAUUAACAAGUUGAAGAAAUAGUUGUCUAGUGAAUUUGAAAUGAAGGACUUGGGAGCAACAAAGUAGGUACUUGGGAUGAAGAUUAGCAAAGACAAAUAAACGAGCAUCUUAUGGUUAUCUUAGGCUAAGUAUAUAUACUCAUAAAGUAUUGCAAAUAUUCGACAUGAGUAAUGUAAGGCAAUUAGAACAUCAUUAGCAAAUCAUUUCAGGUUGUCUAAUUAAGCAUUGCCCAUGGGCAGAUGAGGAAAAAGACUUCAUGGCUAAGGUUUCAUAUGCCUUAGCCAUUGGAAGUUUGAUGUAUGUUAUGAUAUGCACGACACUAGACAUUGCCUAUGCAGUGGAAGUUGUGAGCAAAUUUAUGUCAAAUCUAAGUAAGUAGCAUUAUGAAGUAGUGAAAUGGAUGCUUAGGUACUUACAGGGUACUACAAAAAAAUGUCUAUGUUUCGAAAGGGGUGAGUUAAAAUUGCAAGGAUAUGUGGAUGUUGAUUUUGCCAAUGAGAUAGAUAAUUGGAAAAGUACUACAUGGUAUGUGCUCACUUUGGGUACUAUUGCUAUUAGUUUGAUUUCUCAAUUGUAGAAGAUUGUUAUUUUAUCUACAAUUGAAGUAAAAUAUGUGGCUAUCACAGAAGCUAGAAAAGAAAUGAUUUGGCUAUAGAGUUUGUUAGCAAAGUUAGGAUUCAAAUAAGAUAUGAAUGUUUUGCAUAGUAAUGGCCAAAGUGCAAUACAUUUGGCUAAGUAUUCAACAUUUCAUUCAAGAACUAAUUAUAUUACACUUCAUUAUCACUCCAUCAGGUUUUUGCUUGAAGAUAGGGUGUUAACAUUUGUGAAGAUACAAGGUAGCAAGAAUCCGGUUAACAUGUUAACUAAAAUAGUGAUAAUAGAAAAAUUGGAGUUGUGUGCAACUUCAAUUGGUCAAUAAUGAGAAUAGGUUGUUUGAGUGCACCCUCAUACCCAUUAAUCAUUGAAAGAGAAUGUUUACUUGUGUUUUAGUCUUCAAGUGGAAGAUUGUUGGAUUGUGAAGCUUGAAUCAGUUUUAUUAUGCCCCGAUCAACUUGUAGGGAUUGAAGGGCGCAAUGCUCUAUGGAGAAUUUAUUUAUUUAUUUUUAUGUAAUGAUUGACAGGUUUAAUCUUAUUAUAUAUUUUAACCCUUUUAUGUUUUAAGGUUUUGUUUUUUAAUGUGUAGUUGCAAUUGAGAGGUUUUUUGAGAGCUUUGCUAUUCCACUCCUUCUCAUCCCUUUUAUAGUGAAUUGUUGUAUGUUGGUGUACUCCAUUGAUGUAGGGAUCAAAUUGAUCGUAAAACCAUUUUUUUUUUUUUUUUGUUUCUAUUUAUACAUGAGUGUGUGCGUGAUUUGGUUAACAUCAGUUAUCUUAAUAAUUCUAUUCCUGGAAUAGGAAGAAAAUGAUGAUUCCAUUAAUGUAGCAUGCAUUGCUGCUUAUUUAUCAAGCAAAUUACAUUAUUAUUACACCAAACCUCCAAAUUCACCACGUACGUAUCGUAUAUACCGCAUGAUAAGAUUUAGAGAGGUAAAACAAGCGCUUAUUGUUUACGGAUAGAUAAUGUCCCACCGACCUUUUACUCUGAUACCUUGAAAUGAGAAAUUUGGAGGUUUUCCACACCAAGCUUCUUGAGAUUACCGCGCUUUCUCGUAGCGAAGAACUUUCCCCAGUUGUAUGCUCUAUACUUUGGUUUUUCCCCCUUCGUCAGCUCCUCCAAGGGCUGCACCCAAAGAUGGUGCGCGGGAUUGAAAAAGAACGGAAUCGAGAACCUUUCCCUCUCUGAAUUCAGUAUCACUCUGUGCUCCACACUCUCAUAAGUUUCGUUGCUCCAAACCUGGUUUAAUAUCAGUAUAAUUAGCCAAAUAGGUGCAAAAUUCGGUGAGCGAAAUAACUGAUAAGCAGGUGCUUAUAAUUCAAAGUUCUUGGGUGGUACCUGAAUUAUAUCCCCAACAUUGAUGAUUUAAGCAUCUGGGGUGGGCUUCACUCGAACCCAUUCUCCGUCGGUUUUUCGCUUUACUUCCAACCCUCCGACAUCAUCCUGGGCAAGGAUGGUUAAGGCUCCGGCAUCCUUGUGGUGACCAACGCCCAGAGCUAGGUGAGGGACAGGGCAAGGUGGGUAGUGAUUGAAGCGGACGAAGCUCGUUGAUUCUUCAAAGAAAAGAUUGAAUCUGUUUUCUGGCAAACCUAAGCUCAGAGAGAUGAGUCCCAUCAGCUUGAAAGCUAGUUUUUCCGUUUCUCUCGCAUAUUCUUCACAGACCUCCCUGUAUAAAUCAGUUCAAUUAGAACAAAACAAACUAAGUAAUUUACUGUAGUGACUGUGCCUUAGCUGGUGAAAUUUGUACCUUAAUUCAGGAGGGUACUGAGGCCACCGAUUGGUCAGCUCUAUGAGCUCCUUGUCCUCAGGAUCAUCCGAAGCAGGGCCGAAGGCGGGGGUUCUCACCACGAAAUCAAAGACUUCUUUCCAGUCCCUAACGUUCUUGGUAUGCUCAGUAUCAAAGUACCCAAAAGGAUUCACCUCAUCUCUACUCACCUUCCUCUUCUCCUCCACUGGCAGAGCGAAGAACGUCCUCGCGGCAUCCCAAAUUUUCCGGCGAGACUCCAAGGGCACCCCAUGGUUGAUGACUUGAAAAAAGCCCCAGUUCUUGCAUGCAUCAGCUAUUUGAGAAACAUGAUUGGAAGCAUUGGCGGAAGAGAGAUCAAUGAGGGGGAUGCCUUCAGCUUCGAUAACAGCGAGCUUAGGCCUAUGUUGGGCGUCUUGGAUGAAGGCUGGAUUGACCUCUCCCAUGGCUGUGGUAGUGAUUAGAACUUAGAAAUGGCAAUUAUGCUCUGGUAGCUGCAGGUGAAGAUGGUUACAGGACUUGGGCAACUCGGCAGGUGGUUUUUAUAGCAUAAUAGGGGUGUUGGUUUAAUACCUUGAACCUGGACAUAAUAUGGGUUACGUGUUAAGUUUUAGUUCGGGGUGUGAGCUCAUGGGUUGCGCAUAUGUUAAUGAGAUUUGGUCAAGUGAUACCUAGCUAUUUCCACGGCACCCUCAAUAUUCAAAUAUUUCAUCCGUACUCGAUUUGGAAGGUUGAUUAGUAAAUCUGAUGGUGUAAUGUCUAUUUUUGAAUUCAAUGCUAUAUAUUUAACGGUGAAGAUAAGAAAAAUAGAAGAGUUGAUAACGUUGAAGAAAAAAUGCCAAAGUUUUAAGAAGGUAGAGUUUUGAUGAGAAAUAGGUAAAAUUAAAAUUGCAUUAUAAUAAUAUAAAUUAAUUAAAUCGGUAAUCACCCAUUUAAUCUCAUUCUUAUCCACAAUUGUUGAUAGUUGAUCCUACAAAAUUCUAAAAAAAUCUUCCACAAAGACAAAUCACAAGAUGUUCAAUAACAUAUAUGCUUUUGCACCAAAAAUUGUAUAAGGGAAAAAAAAAUGAUGCACAAAAAAAAAAAAAAAAAAAUUCUAUAUCUAAUAUUAUUUCAUAGGAAAACUAACUAUAAUAAAUUUUAAAAGCAAAGAGCGUUUUACCAUAUCUAAAUAAUAGAUUAUUAAAUUCUUUAUUUUUCAAUUGGAUAUUUUUUUUUAAAUUAGAAACAUCUAUAUAAAAAUAAAAAUCACUUUAAAAAAAUUUUAAAUUUAAGAUAAUAAAUUUUUUAUAAUAUUUUAAUUCUUUUAAAUAAUUUUUAAAAUUAUUAUUUUUUCAAUAUAAAAUUUUAAGAGUUUUUGUAUUUUAUAUAUAAGUUACUAAUAUUCUCUUAUUUUAAACAUAGAAAAUAAAAAAUGUAACCAAAUGAAUUAGAAAAUAAAAAAGUUGAAUAAAAAUAGUCUAACCAUCUUAAACCUAAUAAUGUUUGACAGAAAACACUUAAAUAUACCUUGUAAUUUUCCUCACUGGUCAGCUCCUCCGAAGGCUUCACAUUCACAUGGUGCGCCAGUAAGAAGAAGAAUGGAAUCGAAACCCUUUCCUUCUUGUGUCGACCCACACUGAGAGCGAGCUCCAGCCACGAGCACGAUGGAUGGUGAUUGAGUCGGAUGAAGCAUUAGCCUUCAAAGAAUUCAUUCAACCGAUCCCCCACCAAGCCUAAGCUUAAGGAGAUGAGUUCCAAGAACUUGUAAGCUAAUUUUUCUAUUUCUCUAAUAUAGUUUUUCCAAAUUUUCCUGAAAAUAAAUCAUUAUAUAAAAUAUAUCAAUACUCAAAAUAAAUUUAAUAAAAUCUUGUCUUGCCUUUAUGUCUCUAGUUGAGUCUGUUUGGCUUCAAGCUGUGCAUUUAUGUCUCCGGUUGAGUUUGUUAGGCUUUGAGUCGCACCUUUACACCUCUAGUUGAAUAUGUUCGACUUUGAGCCAUGCCUUUACGUUUUGAGUUGAGUCUAUUCGGCUUUGAGCCACGCCUUUACAUUUUAGUUGAAUCUGUUCGAUUUCAAGCCGUGCAUUUACAUCUAUAAUUGAGUCUAUUCAGCUUCAAAUUGCAUCUUCACAUUUUUUGUUGAAUCUGUUCAGCUUCAAGCCACUCCUUUAUGUCUCUAAUUAAAUUUGUUUGGCUUUAAGUUUCACCUUUAUGCCUUUAAUUGAGUUUGUUCGGCUUUUAGUUGCGCUUUUACGUUUUGAGUUGAGACUAUUUGGCAUCGAGUUGCAACUUUAUGUUUCAAGUUGAAUUUGUUUAGCUUCAAAUCGUGCCUUUACAUCUCUAGUUGAGUUUGUUCGACUUCAAGUCAUGCCUUUAAGUCUCUAGUUGAGUUUUUUUAGCUUUGAGCUGCGCCUCUACAUCUCUAGUUGAAUUUGUUUGGCUUCGUAUCACAUCUUAUGUUUCGAAUUGAGUUUAUUCGACUUCGAGUUGUGCCUUUAUGUUUCUAGUUGAGUCUAUUCAGCUUCAAGCUGCACCUUUACUUUUUGAAUUGAGUUUGUUCGGCUAUGAGCAAUGCUUUUACAUUUCAAGUUAAGUCUGUUUGGCUUUGAGUUAAGCCUUUACGUCUCUAGUUAAGUCUAUUCAACUUCGAGCCGCAUCUUUCAUUUUUGAGUUGAGUGUGUUUGGCUUUGAACCACACCUCUAUGUUUCAAAUUAAGUCUAUUCAUCUUCAAGUCGCACUUUUAUGUCUUUAGUUAAGUUUGUUCAGCUUCGAGCAAUGCCUUUAGGUUUGAAGUUGAGCCUAUUUGACUUCAAGCCACACCUUUACAUCUCUAGUAGAGUUUGUUUGGCUUCAAGCUAUGCCUUUUUGUUUCGAGUUUAGUCUGUUCAGUUUUGAGCCAUGCCCUUACGUUUCAAGUUAAGCCUAUCCGGCUUCAAGUCGCGUCUUUACAUUUUGAGUUAAGACUAUUCGACUUCAAGCUAUGUCUUUACAUCUUUAGUUGAGUUUGUUCAACUUCAAGCUACGCCUUUACGUUUUGAGUUAAGUCUAUUCGGUUUCAAGUUGUGUCUUUAUGUUUUGAGUUGAGUCUGUUUGGCUUUAAGUCACACUUUUACGUUUUGAGUUGAGUCUCUUCAACUUUGAACUACACCUUUAUAUAUCCAGUUGAGUCUGUUCGAAUUUGAGUCACACCUUUGAGUUUUGAGUUUAGUCUGUUCGGCUUUGAGCCACACUUUUACAUCUCUUGUUGAGUCAUAUUUAGCUUCAUUCUACGCCUUUACAUUUCCAAUUGAGUUUAUUUAGCUUUGAGUUGUGCCUAUGUUUUAAAGUUUGUUCAAUUUCGAGCCACAUCUUUAGCCUUAUUAAGUUUGUUCAAGUUUAGUUGUGCCCUCACCCAUAUCCUUAGUUUUAAGUUUAUUCAGCUUCAAGCCAUGCGUUUGUCCUUGUUAAGUAAGUUCGGCUUCGAGCCACGUCUUAGUUUUGAAGUUGUUUAUCCUUGAGCCACACCUUCCUUUCUUUUUUAGUUCACUUAGGGUUUUCUCCUUCCUCGAGUUUAUUAGUGCAUUCGAGUUCAUUUUUCUUUAAGUUGAUCACUCUUUAUCUUUGUUGUCCUUGAAUUGUUCAUUGUGUCACAAUUCAGUGUUUUUCAUUGCAUAUAUACUCCCCACAUUGUCUAUAUUUUAUCCUGAUGAGUUUCUUUCCCAAUACGUGACCUCGAUCUUUGAGUUUAGCAUGCCAUGUGCUAAGACAAUUUCGAGUGCUCUUUUGUUCUUCAAUGCAAUUCACUUCAUACCAUUCAUCACUCAUGUUUCACUGUUUGUGUUCAUUUCAUUCGUGAUCUACAUCGGAGAGAGACAUAUUUGUUGGCCCUUUACUUUGUCCUAUAAUACAUAUUUUCACAUUUUUUUAUUUUCCUCUUGCCCCAUACUCAUUUUUGGUGCUCGUUUUGGAUCCUUCUUGUUUGAUCAUUCAUGGUCCCUUAUUGGUCCACGUUUACUUGACUCAUUAUUCAUUUUUUAGUCGCAUUUUAGAGGCCAUGUAGGAGGAAUUUUGAGUACAUGCAAGCUUAUUUUUUAGAGACCCUUAGUAGUUGGCUCAUAUGAGGACACGCCUCCUCACACUACUACAAAAAUCAUUUAUGGUGUCACUAUUUAUAGUGACACUUUUAAAAUAAUGACACCAUAUAGCUUAAAAUCCACAAAGGUGACACAUCAUAUAAAAAUUUUCAAUUAGGAUCAAUGAUAUUAAUUUUAGGUUUAUAAUGUCAGUUGCCAAAAAAUGACACCAUAUAAAAUAUUUUUUUUCUAAAUAUUAUAACUCAAUUGGCCCACUUUGAGAAUAAUGAUAGUAUAUAAAAAAAUCAUUGUUUCCACAUACCCACAAUCCAAAAAAAUUUCAUUCCAUAACCCUAACCAAAAUUUUUUUCUACCUCUUCUCACACCCAUAGUUAACACACAACUGUUCUUCUCUGCUUUGUGGACUCUCAGGUAACCCAAAAUCUCUUAGAUCUAUCAUUUUCAUUUAUUUUUUUAUUAAUGUCAAAAUCUUUAUGAACACAAUUGAUUUAUGUUUAUUGAUUUAAUAUAUUUGUAAUAUGGAUUGUGUAAAUAGUGUUUUUUUAUUGAGUUGUAGGAAAGUAAAAACUAGGUUUAACAUUCCACCAUAUCUUCUGGUUCAUUGUUAAACCCAUAAACCCCAAAAUGAAUGAAAAUAAGAAAAAUGAAUUAUUUUUAAAUAUCUUUUAUACUCAAGAUAAUAUAUAAACAUUUUACAAUACAAAAUUUUUUUUUGAUCUUGUAGGAAAUUUCCUUUGAUAGGAUUUUCUGUUUGUUUUCAAGGAAUAUUGUAGUAUAUUGUGAUGAAGAUAUUGAUUGGUGUUAUUUGAAAAAUAAUUUUUUAGAAAAUUAUUCUCAAUAUUAUCAUCUCCCACAAAAUGAAAAAUGAAAUAGUUUUCAUAUCAUAUUGGAGUCGGUUUGGAAUGUUGGAAUUAACAAUGAGAAAUUAAUUUUAUUUUUUAUUUAUUAAUGUAAAUGAAUUGUUUUUUUUUUAAAUUUAAAUAGGAAUGAAAAUUUUUAUAAUUAUAAAAAUGAUCAAAUAUUAUAUUUUGAUUUUUUUUUCUAUUCUUUUACAUGGUAUUAUGGUUAAUAUCUCAUCUUGUUCUAUAUAUAUUUUUUAUAUUCUUAAAAUAUGUUUUUUGCUUUUUGUUUUUACUUUCUUUUCUUAUUGUUUUUAUAUGUGUUGACCAAAAUUUAGAGUAAUUUGAGAUUGGCGAUAAAAUUUUCCUUUCAAGGUUAGAAAAUUUCUAUAAAAUCAUUUUAUUACAUAAUUUUUUCAAUUCCUUCCAUAAAACUCUUCCUUUUUCCUUUUUUAAGAAGAUGUUUGAUAAUUUUCUUUUGAUUUCUAUGAAAUUUCCUUUUAUUGGACUGUUUGUUUAUUUUCUAAGAAUAUUAUAGUAUGUUAUGAUGAGGAUAUUGGUUGGUGAUAUUUGAAAAUUAAUUUUUGAGAAAAUUAUUCUCAAUAUUGUCAUCUGCCACAAAAGGAUUUUAAAAGUAUGUUUUAUUUUUGCCUUCUUUUCUUAUUGUUUUUAUAUGCAUUGACCAAACUUUGGAGUAAUUUGAGAUUGAUGAUGAAAUUUUCCUUUCAAGGCUAGGAAAUUUCUAUAAAAUCCUUUUAUUACAAUUUUUUUUUUUUUCCUAUUCCUUCCAUAAAACUCUUCCUUUUCUUCAUUUUUCUUUUUUGAUGUUUGAUAAUUUAUUGAUCUAAAGAAUAUUAAAAGUAAAAAAUUUAAAAUAUUGAAUAUUUUUUCCUUUGAUGUUGUUAUUUUAUUAUUAUUUUUAUUUGAACAUAUUUUUCAUAUCCAAAUUUUCUAUUAAUUAUUUUACUUUUAAAAAAAAUAUCAAUUGAAGUUAUGACUGAAAAAUCAAUAAUUUUUAUGAAAGGUUCUUUAAUUCUUUCUCAUACUAAUUUUUCUCUUAACAUUUCUUAAUAGUGAAUUAGGUUUUUUUGUUUUAUAUACACAAUUUUCAUGCUUGUUAUAAUAUCAUGUCCUAUCAUAUUAGUAGUUGAAAACAUUUUUAUAUUUUGUUACUAAAAUUUUAUUUUAUAUAAUUUACAUGAAUUUUAAUGGACAUUGUUAUUUCACAAAAUGAACAUUAAAAAAAAUAUUGAAAUUAAGAAAAUCCUUCCAAGAAAUAAAAAAAUAUAAAAAGAAUUGGAUGUUAAAAAUGAUUUUUAAAAGCAUUAUGAAUUAUAAAAAAUAAAUUUAAAAGAUUAGUAUUUUCUAAAAUUUUAGAUUUAUAUUUUGAUUUUGUAGUUUUGAUUUAUUUCAUAUUUUCUUGAAUUGUUUUUAUUUGAGUUCAAAUGUGACUACUUUGUUAUGAGAUUCAUUAAAAGGAUAAUUGUUGAUUCUACAGUUAUUGCAUUAAAGGUUUUACUCAUUUAAUGAAUUGUACAUAGUUUCAUACUUCUAAUUAUUGUGAUAUUAAUGUUAUUUUCAUUUGAUUUUAGUUUGAUGACAAAAAACAUAUUCUCAAGUAGACUUUGAUGAAAUAAGAGGAGAAUGGAUUGCUUUUGUGUUAUAACUAAUCAUGAAUCAUGUUGAUGUAUCGUGAUCAUGCAUGGUGAGUCCCUUAGUUGUUAUAUAAAUUUUCCAUUGGUAUUGUAUAACAUUACUUAUUCUUUAUGAACUAUUUUUAUAUCAAAAUAGGAAAAAGAAAAAAGGAAACAUUAGUACUUAGAUUUGUUUAUUUUUUUAUAACAUCACUAUGGACCCCGCAUUUUCGGCUCGAUGCGUUUCCCACUCGAUGGCGAGCUCGAUUUUUAAUUUUGAAAAAUGAUUUUUAUUCAUUAAAAAUGACUUGGAGUCGCCACUUAUUUUUGUUUUAUUUUUAAAGGGUAAACAAAAUAAGAAAAAAAAACCCUAAGUGUGACUCCUUAUUUUAGAAAAGGCGAUCUACGAAAAAACCGGAUUGGGCUCGGGGGUUAGGUUACUUAUCGGGAAGGUACGGUAAAGACCGUAGCACCCCUCUAAGUCCCUAAAAUCGGGUCUUUACUAAUAGAAUGAAGCUGACGUGGCAGUCAACAAGAAAAUCGAUGAAUAGUCAAAUCAAUCAUGCACAAUAUGAGAAGCAAAACAUGUAUAAAGAAUGAGCGAAAUAUGAAUAGAUGCGUACCUGGACGGCAAUCACGAACGCGCUAUCAUGAAACAUGGUUAGUGAACAAUGAACAGAUAUAAUUAAGCGCAUAUCAAGGAAUAGAGUAAAUCAAUCAUGCAUAGCAAAUAAAUAAAUCAAUUAGUUAAUCGAUUAUAAAUCACAUAUGUGGGGCCCCACCAAAGUCCAUUUAUUUUGCAUGAUUUAAUUCCAAUAACUCCAUUACUUGGAAUUACGGAAAUGAAUUCUUGCUUAUUUUAAAACGUUUUAAAACGAAGGAGAUGUGGAAAUUAUUUGCUAGAAGGAAAGAUGACAACAAAAUUUUAUUGGAAAUGAGAUUUUUGAGUGAUCCUAAAAAUUCUAAAGAUGAAAAUUUGAAAAAUAAAUAAAUAAAUAAGAAUAAAAUAAAAUUAUUUGAAAAUCUAGAAAUUGGAAACUAUUUGAAAACGGGAAAUUUGGAAAUUAAUUUAAAAUUGAAGAUAAAGAAAUAAAUAGAUAAAUAAAAAAAUAAAUAAAGGACACGUGACUCAAAAUGUGGUCAUGCAUAGUUGCUUGUAAAUUGGACAGCCAGUUGCUUCUCAUACUCUCAGCGUCAAGAUGUUCCUUGAUGUAGUUGCCCCAUGUGUCAUCCUUAGCCGUGAUAAUGCAUGUGUUUUCAUCCCAAUUAAAGUCACUUUGAUCAAGAAGUGCCUUGAUAGUGACAUAUUGCAUCCUCAAGACAUCAUACCGAUUCCUCAGUUGGUCCUUAUCCAUGGAUUCCCGCGAAAUAAAUCUGUUACCAGAACAUUGUAACCAUUGCAUGCAACGCGAUAUGCGGAGUCCCUUGUGGAUGAAUUUUCGAAGCCAAAGGCAUCAAACAAGAGCAGUAUCCCUGCCAACUGCGUGUUCAUCCAGCCGCUCAAUCACGCCACUAACAUGGGCACAGCGGAAAGCAUCAACACAACCUUAAUUCCUCUCUUGUAGCUGUUUAGCAGAUCCAAGUCUGUACAAGACUUGAUCUAUGGCAACGUCAUGAGGAUAUAGCCGCGGGGUAGCAUAUGAAUCCAAUCAAUGGGAAAUGGGCAUUAGGAAUGGUGGUCAGGCUUUGCAUGAUUUCAUACACGUGAAUGAGUGAUGCUGGGACCUUCAUGGAGGCUUUGAGUGGAUCUUUGGGCGGCGGUGUAGAAAGAGAAAGGUAGCAGGAAGAAAAGAAUGGGUGUGGGCUUGGUGGUAUGAAACGUGUGGUGUUAAAGAGGAAUGUGGCGUACAUGAGGAAAGACAUGGUGAGUGGAAUGAGCUAUGGGCAUGAGAGAAAUAGAGAAAAUGGGUAUGAAGGUUAAUGAGAGAGAACGGGCGUGUGAGGGUGGUAAAGGAAAAUGGAUGAUGGAUGCACAUAGGUGGAAAUGGGAAUGGAUUUGAUAAAGCAUGAAGGUAGGAAUGGGAUUCGGGUGAUAUUAGAUUACCAUGCAUGGAGAAUGUAUACGUGGAGGUCUAUUAUGCAAAGGAACUAAAAACGGGUCAAGUGAAGGGCUGUUUAGGGAAUAUGGCAUCAGUUUCAGGUUGAGGGGAUGGGGCCCUUGGGCCAUUUGGCUACCCACAAGUAUGAUCUACAAAAUAGGGUCCUUAUGUCAGGGUCAACUUUCGGAUUUUUGCAAAGCUGAUGCUACCAAUUUAAACUCUGAUCAAUCAGUGUCCGCGAUCUUGAGUCCUUCAAGCUGAUGCAACGCGUCUUUAGGAAGGUAGAGCCUCCAAUGAAUACUUUAGAUUUCGAUUUUUGAACAAUCAUGGCAGAACCCUUCAUCGAUUGGCAUUAUCAUUACCCUGGGAUUGCAGCAAGAUGCAUGGAAGGCUUCUUCACUAUUAUCACAAAUGAGCAUAUACAAUAUAUUUUCUGAAUGACCACACGAUUUACAUGGUUGGGAUGAGUUGCUAUUCCCACUAACUCCCAGAACUUCAAGAAGCUCCUGACUCCUCAGUAUAGAAAUGCGUGUAAUCAUUACCCUCUUGUUUGGCAUGACCUGUGCAUACCCAAGAAUGACACCUACUAACCAACCAAUUGAUCCUUAUUGCAUUUAGAACUCAUCUGCAUCCCCUAGUCAAUUUCAGUUUCUGACAGUUAAACCAAAAAUCCCCAGUCUCAGCAAUGACAGUAGUCUCACUUGACAACAUUUUCUGUAUAUGCUGGAACAGAACAUAAACCCUCAAAGGCUCCUCGGGAUCAGACGUAGGAGACUGUCCCUCAGGAACGUAAACUCUAUGGUAGAACUCAUAGGCAGUGAUAUUGCAUUCGAGCCUCUUGGAGAAUGACUUGAAGAAAUCUUUCAUCAAAAUGCACCCAAGCUCAAGCCCAUAAGCACACCAAACACCAUUAUUGGGUUCGUUACAUCACCAUGCUACGGAGUUUAUACAACAGGAAGCUCUAACUGAUGAUGGUUCUGGUAGUGAUUUGCCAAUGGGAACUUGGCCAUCAAGUGAACCCGAUAUCAGAAGCUGAAGUUAUUACCUUGUACUCUUCUAUUCCCCCAUUAUCAGCAAUUCCAAUGGAAACAGUAGGAGAGCCUCAAGACUGUGUAUCCAUUCAAUAACUCUGUUUCUCAGUCAGGAUGCAAAAAACUCCCCAAUGAUUCUACAGCUGCAACCACAGGAGCCCCACUACUACCAGUUCCUUCACCCAUUCUGACAGCAACCAAAACCAGACCAAUGACUUGAACUUUAGACUUCCCCAAUCCAUUAAAUCCAGAAACCACUUGGAGUUAGAAACAUUUUCUACCUCAUCCUAGAACUUUCAGGUAUUUUACAAAGUAAUGGUCGGUAUUUUUCAAAAGCAAAAAGAAAAAAAGGUAAGACUCAAGAAACAGAGCAAACUCAGAAUUCGUUAAUCAAGACUCCAUCUCAUGCUGCACUCAAUGGAUCUAAACAGGUGAGACAAGCAGGGAGCAGUGGCAUGAUUAAUCAAUCUCAAAAAUAAUCCAUAUAUCGGUUAUUGACAGGAAAAAACAAAGAAAGCAGAAAAGAACCCAAACAGAGCAAAUACAAAAACAAACUCAAAUUCAGCAAAUCAAUCCACAAUCAAGAAAAACUAACAAUGCUCAAGUAGCCUGAGAAAAAUGAUGAAGAACAGUGAUAAUGAAAAAUACCCUAAAAAAAAGAACACGAUACUUCAUACCUGUGAAACUCCUCUCCGAUGAAGCUCACCUACCAAACCAAUCUGCUCCCAUCCUUGGCACUAGAACCCCUCUCCGUAGCAGCCUAAGCUCAAGGAAAUCCCUCUCCAGACCGAUCUCUUCUUUCUUCUCAAGUUCUUUUCUCCUCCUCUCAAAAUAUCUCUCCCUGAAAAACGGCAGCCAAAACCUCCCUCUGCAGCUGGCCUGCCCCCGUAACAGAAUACCCCCCUCUAGCUUUCUCACUACCCUCAAAAGCACCCUCUCUCUCCUGCAGCUGCAAGCCUCCACUACCCCCAUGCAGCUGGCAGCCUCUACUCCUCUAACGGCCAGCAGAUUCUCCUUCUAGAAAAUUCUUUCCCUUUUCCAGGUGUCUUUCCCUGAUUGGCCCAUCAAUUCCACUAUAGUGAUUCUACAGUGACCAAUCCUAAGAAGGCACGUGGCCUUAUGAGAUUGCGACACUUGGCAAACACAGGCUGCCAAAAAGUGAGCCCCCAAAUGGGGGUCUACAAUCACAUUUUUAUUUUCAAUAAGAACUCUAAAACUCAUUAAACUAUAAAAUGCAGAUAUACACUCUUGAGAGGACAAUAUGAAGAAUAAAAAGAAAUAAGAAAGAAGCAACAAGAUUUGGAUUUUUAGAUGUGACUCUUAUGUCAUACAUUAUACGACAUAAAUGUUAUUUUAUUUGGAAUUGAGAAUUGUGGGUUUUUUUAUGCAACUCUUGUGUCAUUUGGUUAGCCGGUUUUAUGCAUAUGAAACGUAAGUAUACAUGAAUGUUGGGAUGCUUAACAUUUCUAAAUCAUGUUUUAAUGUGUAUUCACUUUUCUUUUUUAGUUUUGGUGGGUUUGAUAUACUAUGUUUUGUGAACAUUUGAUAUACAAAUAUUAGUGGAUGAUGUAAUGUAUUAUAGGUUAAUCCAUAAGCAUAAAGAAAAUAUAAGUUAAAUGUAAUAUGAUUAUUAUAUUUAUGGACAAAAUUUACACACGUUGAUCUUAUUUAUUAAUAAGCAUUACAAAAAUCUAUAGGCUAGUCAACAAAAAACAACCAUAUCUUCUAUAAUCAUUUACAAUGAAGUGACACCAUAAUUCAAAGGUGAUGCAUUUAACGUGACAUCAUAACUCAAAGGUGAUGCAUUUAAUAUGACACCUUAUAUAUCUCACAUAACUCUAUAUCAAAUUAAGCAUCACUAAAAAUAUAUGGUGUCGCUUCUAAAUGCGUCACAAUUUAUCUGUUUUGGUGUCGCUUCCAAAUACGUCACCAAUUGGUACCCUCUAUGGUAUUGGUGGAUAAGGUGACGCUAUGUUGUAGCGACACCCUAUGUUUAGGGUGACUCGUUAUAAAUGUCACCAUAUAUGUUUUUCCUUGUAGUGUCAUUGGGAAGGUUUUUUCCAUUUUUUAGAGGGGUUUUCUAAAGGCUUCUAGGGUGAGGACACUGUUCUCAUAUUGGCUUUUUUUCCCCCUUUUUAGAGGGGUCUUCUAAAGGCUUCUAAGGUCAACUAGGAGAGCAUGUUGAUUGAUGCUUUGAUAUGGAUACCAGAUGCCACAUUUCAUCUUGUUGAACACUGGUUAGCUAUGGACUUGUUACUGCUUUACUCUUCUGUUUCGAGUUAACUUUGGAAAUGAAUCUGAAUAUAGACUAGUAUUUGCAUCUUGAUGUUUAGAGAAUCAUAUUUUAGUUGUUGUUUAAAAUUCAUUUUGGCAUGUUCGAUUGCUUCAAGCUCAUUUAUACAAUAAUGAAAUGGAGAUUUAUAUAUUUGUUAUUGGGUUGGCUCUCUGUUUGGUUAUCUUUAAGUUCUGCAUCUUUUCUUUUCUCGUUGCCUUAUCUUCUCUGGGGGGUGUCGUUUGAGAAAUACAUAGUGGAAAAAAUGGGAAGCUGAAGGCUUAUCCUGGCAUCGACCUCGCGUUAGGGAACGACUUGAUCGAAGAACAUAUGAAUUUUUCAAAUACCCAGAACUCACAUCAAAAGAAGCAUCGGAGUCAAGGUCAAACACAUCAUCUGACAAGGAAUAUACCUUUGCCUUUGGUGACUUUAUUGACUUCUGCAUGAUGGACAUCCGAGGGUGGGGACUGGAAGAGAAAUGAUGAAUUUGCCCAAGAUAGUUUGUCUAGAAAGGAACUUGUAUUAAAUGAUGAUUACCCACUAUGUCAGAUGUUGAAAUUUGGGUAUGACAACUCCUGGUGGCAUCAGAAAGAUGAGUUGCACAAUCCUUCUCACAGUUGAAAGCUUGACCUCCGAAGUUGGGCUUUUUCAUGGCCAGACAAGAACAGUGAUCACAAUAGUAUGAGCCAAGCCUGUCACGACCCAAAUUCUAGGUGAACUUAACCAUGACUCCAAAUCAAAGGUUUAAACUUAAAGGUUACAUCUAUUCAAUCUAGUAGUCAAUCCUGAUAACUUGAUUUUUUUUUCUUGAUAAAACAAUAUCUAAUCCCAAAUCAAUUUAUUAAGCUAAUAACUUGAUUUUUUUUCUCAAUAAAACAACAUCUAGUCCCAAAUUAAUUUAUUAAGCUAAGAUUUACUAUAUCAUAUUAUUUGAUUUUAUUUUUCAAAAAUCAACCAUUACACUAUCACUUAUUUGCAAGUAUAAUAAAUCUGUCAAACAUCUUAUCACCCAAAAUGAUAACCCAAAUAUUUACAAAAAAAAGUUUUACAAAUUAAUAAAAUAUAGUCUAAGUUAUAAAAGUUCUUAUAAAUUAAAUUAGUAUGUGCUAAAAUAUAAGAUAACUGAAAAAAAAAAAAAAAAAAAAAAAACCAUUAUUAUUAUGGUUCCUUAAAAACUAUAUUUGCAUCUAAAAAUUUUAGAAAAUAAAGGGAUGGACAUUUCCACAUUACUUAGUAAGGUAUUUUACACCCACACAAAUUAGAAAUUCUAAGUCAAUAAAACACAAUCAUAUAUCAAAGUGUAAUUUUACAUCUAAUGUACUACAACUAUAUACAUUUAAACUAAUCAAAAUUAUCACUAACCAUAAUCAGACUCCAAAUAAUACAAAUAACAUUUAUUAUCUCCCAAAAACAUAAUGUGUAAUUUUGUUUCCAAAGAAAAAUAUAAAAUAAAAGUUUUAGGGUUAAACCACCCUACAUCAAAUUUGAAAAUCUAAUUGUUAAAACUAAAAUCAGACUCCGUAAAAAUGUUCUUUAUGUUAAAUAGAGUGUUUUGCUAAAAUCUCAUGCAAAACAGAAUUCAUUUGGCUUGUCGGAUGACAACCCAAAUAUUUGUUGCACCUUCCUUGUUUCUUCUCUUCCUUUGUGUUUCCGUUUGCACUCUUCUCUCUACGGAUCUGGUAAAUAGGGUAGCCCCUGGUACGCUUGGGGCUGGAUUGAAUCCUAUUCGAACUAUAUCUAACUUGAUCUUGUCCAAGCUAGGAAGGUUUUUGGUCUCGAUGACAUUGGAAGUUUCAUCAUUGCUAAAGAAAGGGGCGGCCAAAAAGGCUUAGCGACGACCCUCUCUCGACUUAAAGGAAACGACUUGUCCCAUCCAAUGCCCUACUUUUAAGUGCUCGGUAUGUUCACUUAAUCAAAUCUAGAAGAAGCUUGGCCUCUGUAGAGCAUGAAAAGGCUAGUUUUGAAGCUUUUAAUCGAGGACUUAUUUGCCCUAAAGCCUGACUUCUUAGGAAGAGAAAUGGGCUUGACUUCUUCAUCAACCUCGGAAUCGCAUUCUAUCACACUGGUGGUACUUCUUGUUGAAUUAAAAGAUUGGAUGAGUCUUUUUGUACCCACCCGCCACCCCUGUUUGAGAGUGAUUAAAUAUCAUAACUUCCUUAAUGGACCUACGGACUAGCUAAGGUUUACUUACAUAGUUGUUCUUUCUUUUCUCAAUUUCAAGUUAAAGUUAGCGUUUUUCAGCUUACUGUUUGCUUUGGUUGAGUAGCCGCCUUAUGACCCUUUGCUUUUGAAUGAAAUCAUCUAGAACCUCUCAGAUCGGAUUCCAAUCACCUUAGUGAGUCUCCUAGGUGCGAAGCCAUUCUUUAAGCCCAAAACAAAAGGAGAAGUGAAGUCACUAUCUAGACAAAGGGGCUUGCCUACUUAUAAGGUAGGAGUUCACACCGGGGAAUCGCUUUCUUAAUUAAUUAAAAGCGAGCCAAACUCACCACCUCAUGUACCAAAGUCAAACGGUUGUUCUUCCUUCCCCGCUCCCUUUUUCUCUACAUAUGUGAUGGCGGGCAGAGCGCUCUAUAUGACCGGUGGUGGGUUACCAGAGAAGAUGGGACAACUUCUUUCUCUCUUGCCUUGCUCAAUCUUCCUUUUCUGAUUGAAAGUAGCAAGCCACACCACUACUGGUACAGAGGUCGGAUAGAAGGUUGCUUUUUCUAUAUGUUCAGGCGAAGAACAUCUACGGCACAGUCUUCGCCAAGCAAGAUGAUGUAACUCCUCAAAACAUAAAAAGAGCUCUUAUAUAUGUAAAAACAUGAUAUAUGUGUAAAUGAAUUAUAGCCAUUUUCAAAUAGAUCAGGAUCGUCAGAUGUUUGAAAUGGAAAGUCAAUUUUUCUAUAUGCAUGUAGAUAUCUAUAGGGGAUUAUAUGAAGGGGAUGUUAUUAUUUUAGAUAUAAUCAAUUCCCUUCUCGGAGCCCACUAAGAUCCGGAUCUCCUACGGAAAUGAUUUAGAAGAUCCAAAACCAAAAAUAGUGGUAUUUGCUAGCAACAACAUAAUGGAGGCAGUCAAUCAAUAUAUAUUGAUCUAAAAUCUGAUUCAAAUCCAAUAUAGCACCUAUGGGUACAUAAAAGAAAGGCAAGAGAGAAAAGAAGUCCAUACUUUUCAACAAAGCUUUAAGUGAGUAGGGGUGUAGCAGAUUCAUGCACGUCGAAUAUAAAUGCAGUUGGAUGAGUAGUCGCGGAUUCACAAUGCCGGUUAAAAAGCCAAUCUUAGGGUUGCAUUCACUCCCCUUCUAUAUCUUGCAUCUAUAGUAUUUUUGUCCUGGUGGAUCUCUUUAUCAUUUAAUAAAAGUUUGGAAUCUUGGGUUACUAAUUGGUGGAAUACUAGGCAAUCUAAAACUUUUUUGAAUGAUAUUCAAGAAAACAAUCAAUUUCCCAUCAUUUGCACUAUGAAUGGAAAUGAAAUUCUAGAUCUAGAAUCAGAUGAAUGUGCAACAGUCAAUUUCCUCCCUCACAACCUAAUUGUCCACUAAAAACAACCUUUUUUACUAUACGCUAUUUGGCCGCUAGAAGAACUUCAGUUCUUAUAGGUAAAUGCUCAAUACCCAAGUAGGCCUACAAAGUUGAUCAUGAUCAAGUGCUUUUUGGGUCGUCUUAGACCUUGCAAUAUCUCUCCGGCCCUCUAGCACUCUGUUAUGGCUCAAUCACUUACUCUAGUUCUGGAGUUCUAGGUCCUCUAGCUAUUAGUGCAGGUAGCUCUCCUUCUGGUAAUGCAUUAUAGGUUGUCUUCCUUCCACCUUCCUGUUUUCAAGAAAGCUUAUUUUCUUUCUAAGAAAAAUCAUACAAUCUCGUAUGAGAACGGGAUUGAUGGGAGGCAUAUGCUCCCAGGCUACACAAUGUCUUACAGGGCUUACCCAGUUAGAAGGUAUGUAACUAAAGUCUCAAGAGAAUUGAAAUCGACGAGAAAUCAGAAUCAAUGUUAGAGAUUAGACUUGGCAUGGAAAAAGGAGUAUAGUAAGAUGAUAGAGACCUCGCACGAGAUGCUUACUCGGAUUCAUGCCCAUAAAGAGUAGAAGAUUCAACACAAGUGCAAGAAUAGGUUUCACAGUUAAGAAAGGUUGAGAUUCAGGUGAGUGAGUGAGUCCUCACUGACUUGAGCGAUUUCGAUCACCUAGCAGUUUAUUUGGUAGGUAACAUCGCUAAAGCAUAUCAUCUGAUCUACAAAUGAAGGAAAUCAAAGUGAGACGACACCGUCCUCUGUAACGCAACGAUAGUUGGCCCUUUAUCAUCAACUAUUUGGUAGACUUGGUAAAAGAUGUAAGGCUUUAGCUAGUACACGAAAGUGCAUACCAUGAUUCUUCUGUCUAUCAAUAACUGCAUGCAUUGCACGAUGGAUGUGAAGAAGUAGGCCAUUAUCUCGACAAUAAUGAGCCAAGCUAGUAUUUGCAGUGAAUCCCCCUGUUAAGUAGUCACAUUAAUGGAACAAGAACACAUUAGCGUAUGAAACAGAGCUGAAAGCGCGAGUGCACAAUCUCAAAAACGGCAAAUUCACGUUCUACUUCCUCAAUCUCGAACUCUGUCUAUUGGGAUGAGCUCCCCUUACCUGCGCUAUUCUAUGAACGAACUUCCUUUAUAAACCAUAAAACUGGAACAAUCACUGUUCCAGGGUCUGUCUCAGAGUUCUAUCUCGUGCUUGACAUCAAUUGCAUCCAAACCUUUAAUCGGGUAUACUUUCCACAAUAACAAGCGAGUCAUAGUUAGGUAAAAGUUAUACAGAAAGAUGACAUCGUUGGCGAACUUGAAGCUAGUUAGGUAAAUCCCCUUAUAUUCUUCUUUCUUCUCCCAUAAGACAUUCCUUAUUAUUAUUAUUAUUAUUAUUUUCAUUUUCUCAAUUUCUUUAUCUUUUCAACUUUAAGACACCAUUUUGCACUUCUUCUUUUUUAUUAUAAUUAUUAUUCUUUAUCAACCAUACCAUGUUAAGAAAUUUAUUUAUUUUAAUCCAAAAAUCUACUUAAAUACAAUUUCAUACUUUUCUUAAUAAAUUAUAUAUAUAUAUAUAUAUAUAUAUAUAUAUAUAUAUAUAUAUAUAUAUAUAUAUAUAUAUAUAUAUUAUUUCUUAUUAUAACAAAUUUAAAAUGUCACAUGUAUCAUUUUUUUAAUAAAUCAAAUUAUUAUUCUUUAUUUCAUAUUCUACAAUUAUAAAUUAUACUCAAUAUAUGAUUUAUUGUCUUACGAAAAAUAUACUGCUAUAUUCUUAAUUAAAUUUAUUACAAGUCUACUUUUCAAAAAAAAAUUAAUUUGACUUUAAUUACUUGAAACAUUUUUAUUAUGAAAUUCAUUUAGAACAUGAUUUCAUUAAUUAUAUAUUUAAAAAAAAUCAAUUUUAGAAAAAAAUCUGAAACAUAAAAUAAUUCUUCAACAUCAAGAAGCUGAAAUUCAUAAUAAUAUUUAAUCCUUUAAUUUUACCAAUAUUUAUUUACCAAUAAAAUUUAAGCAAUAUUCUGAAAUUUAAUUCCAUUAGUUAUUUAGUCAUUCAAUUUAUAAAAUCAUAUUCUCAACCUUUGGUAUAACUUUUAUUUAAUUUACUUCAUUUGUCAAAUUUCUCAAUUGAAUCAAAAUUUCAAAAGUUAAAUUCACUAAAUUCAUAUUUAAUUAAUUUAGCCUUUUAUAUUCCCUAAAUUAAUAUAUCAUAAUUUACUCUUAAUGUAAUUUCAAUUCAAUUUUAUUUGAUGUUUUGUAAUUCUAUAAGGUUUAAUUCUAAUUAUAAAAAUUAUUGAUUUCUUAUAAAAUUAAAUUCAAUUUCUUUUUAAUUAUCCAUUAUAACAAUUUGAUAUAAUCUAAAUUUUUAUCAAGUUUUUCUUACUACAAUUCUCUAUAAUUAAAUUAAUGGUCAUAAUAUACUUAAUAUUCAAUUUUAGAGACUAUAAUAUCAAUAAUUAUUUGAUGGUUGAAUUUUUUUCCAAAUUUAAAUUUAAUUUUUGAAAUUCCUACUCUUUGCAUAUGACGUGAUGGAAUUUUUAUACUAUUGACUUUUUAUUAACUUUUUCAAAAAAUUUCUUAAUUAAAUAUUAACACGGGGAUUUUCGUCAUUCUUUUUUAACAUUUGACUAAUGAUUUUAUGAUAACUUUAAUCUGACAUGUCAUUAAAAAUCCGGUUGUUAUAGAGCCAGUCAAAUUAAGCCUGUUAUCCGAGGAGUGAAGCCACUGCCUUGUUCUAUCUCCGAUGGCCUGCUCAGCUCCUUCAACCCCCAUCGCUCUCCUCUUUCCAAGUUCUCCAUUUUCAGUUUAGAGCCAACAAGGAUCGCAGAAAUCCUUAAAGAUUGACCUACAUGGUAUCGUGAGUACCGCGAUGUGGAUGUUCUUAAUGUGUUGUCUACUAGAGCCAAAUGGGUGUUUGAUAAGACCCAGUGAAGGUGUAAAAAUUAUAUGACGAAGCUUGCAGAAAGACUUUGAGUUGAGGGAAGGCAUCUCAACGAAGUUGGGCUUUUGUAUUGUGAAUCUGGCAAAUUACCUAUACUGCAUGGAUCAUCACUCUUUUAACGUGGAGGUACACAGGUCCUUUGCAAUGUGACACUUGGGGCACCACAUCAAGCUGGUGAUGCUCAACGACUGGCUUCUCUGGACGGGUCCUCCAACAAAGCGCUUCAUGCUUCACUGAAAUUUCCCGGAGUUCUCAAUUAAUGAAGUUGGCCAACUCCUUAACCUGCACUGUUCCGCAGCAGUCACAUAAAGAUUUGACAUUGAAAUUGAUCAGGUUUUUCCUCUGCCAAUGGUGGUGGGCGCGCUUUGUAUGUAGAUUCCGAAGGAACUUCCAACUUGAUGGCUGUGAGUGGUAAGGUUGGAGAAGAUACUACUGGGUCUGCCCCAUUAGUUUUCCAUUGUUAAGGUAGUUUGGUGCACAGCUUCCUGGAUCAUCUACACCACGAGCACCUCCAGCCGCCUGUUUUGAUCAGUUUCUGGAUUUCCAUCUCCAAAUUGUGCAAGCAGUGACUGAUAUGGUGUCCAUACAAGCGGCUACUGAAAUGGUUCAAACCCCAAAUGCUGAAGGGAAAGGAGCUUUUGGAAAAUAUCAUGAAGAAGACUCACCCAUCUUACAUGAAAUUAUACACAACUCCAUGGACCAGAACCGGAACCCAGACUUAAAUUUGUCCAAGAGAAGAUCAGUGUAAUACAAGUCAACUGCAGUCAUUCCUGAAAGAAGUGAUGAGAAGAGUAAACCUGGAAAAGCAGUGAGUGAAACAAGUUUUGUGACAUUGAACAAUUUGCAGAUGGGUGUUCCCACAAGCUCCUCUCCCCUCUUCCUACGUGCAUGAAAUUCCUACGUGCAUGGCCACCUUCUUAGGUGUGCAAUUCUGCGCAUAAUUCUCAAGCGUACUAUCACCCUCUUCUUUUUUGAAAAAUUGAUUUUAAAUUUAAAAUUUUGACAAAUUCAUUUCCCUUUUAAAAUCCCUCAGUAAUUCUCUUCAAAUUAAUAAAAUCUAUUUUCAAAAAAAAUUUGCUGCCAUUUUCCUUUUGGCAUAGACCUUUUUCUAUUUUCUUUGAUUUUUAAUCAUUUUCCAAUUUUUUAAUAAAUAUGAAUAAAUUCUAUGUUUUUAAAAAUAAUGGAAUUUUGUCCAAAUUUCUAUUAUCUUUUUCUCCAUGAUCAUUAGAAAGAUGAAAUUCCUAAAAUUAAUUCAUGCAAAUAAAUUGGACAUUGGUAGGCCCAACAUAUGAAUUUUUCUCCUUUGAUUAUUGUUUUUAAUUGCUACACUUGAUUGACUAAUGAUUGAUCUCUGUCUUGCUCUAGCAUACAUGAGAUUAUUUUGUGCUUGUUAUUGUACACUAACCAUGUUUCUCACGAAGCGCUCAACUUAUUCUCAAGUACGUUCUUUCCUUUUCCUAUUCGUUUAGUUAUAACCAAUGUUUUCAAAAUCGGACCGAUCAUUGAAUUGGAAAAGUUACUGGUUCACGGUUCACUGGUCGAAUCGGCGGUCAAAUCACGGUCAAACUAGUGAUGUCAUAAAUAUAUAAUUUAUAAAUUAUUAAAAUUUAAAAUAAUUAUAAAAAUAAAAAUAAUAAUUUAUAUAUUAUUUAAAAAUUAAAAUUUUAUUUAAAAAUUAGAAAAUUAGUUUCAAAUUAGAAAUUAAAAUUAAAAUCAUAAUUUUAAUUUUAAUUUUCAAAUUUUCAAAUUCAUUUUUAAAUAAAAAAAAACUUAUUUUAAAAUCAUGAAUUUAUUUAAAAUUAUAAUAUUUUCAUUAAUUUAAAUUAAAAUCAUAAGUUUUAAACAUCAUGAAAUAAAAAAUAAUAAAUAUAAAAGAAAAUAAAUUAUACUGAAAUGAGGUAAAAAAUAAUUUAAAAAAAUGGAAAAAGAGAGGAGAGGAACAAGCAAAAAAGGGUUCCAACAGGGUUUUGGGGGGUGGGGUUUCCAUUUCUAGCGCCAGGUGGGGGCCCUUCCGGUGGGCCAAAAGGGGAAAAGCUUUUUGGCUUUUCCAGUGCAAGGGGUGCCGAUGGGGUGGGGGGUUCCAAUGGGCAAGAAGAGCUCUUCCAGCGCACGCGGGUAGGAGUGGCGACAAUGGGGAAAAAAAAAAAGUUGAACCGGAUGGUUCCAUCCGAACCGUCCGGUUAGUCGGCCGAACCACCGAUUUAACUAGUCCGACCACUUUCCAGCCCAAUUGACCAAACCAGAUUGAAACCGUGACCAGCCGAUCCAAUCCAAUUUUUAAAGCCAUAAUUAUAGCUCAACCAUAACACAUCAUUGAUCAUUACUUGGUAUUUGUUGACUUUUUGAUCAAUUGUCAUUCUUAUAUUAACUUGAUUAUUAGAGACCUAAUUUUAGGGUAUAAAGGGGUAUUACGAUUUAUCAUCCUACCUUCUCAACAAGUAACCUGACCCUUGAACCCAGACUUGGUUUUUCAUAAACCCGUAUUUUCCUUUCAAGUUUCAUACUUAGAAUUUUUUUUUUUCCAUUUAAAAAUAAAAUAAAGAUACGUGGCCUAAAACCAUUUUCAUCAAUCCAAAGUGAGUCUUGUCUUUUUUUUUUUCAAGUAAGGACACGAUCACAGGUCUACAAUACUAUUUUAAUAUAUAUAAUGAAAUAUAGAUAUUAACGCCAUCUUAAAGAUAUAAUUAAAUUUUUUGUUUAAAAUAAAUUAUAAUAAUUUAAAAAUAAUAUUUUAUUUAAAAUAAAUUUUAGAAUAAGCAAAGUUGAUAUGUGGACAUAGAGAAUCGUGAACCAUUGUAAAUGUAUUGAUUAUAUCUCUUUCUUCCCAUUUCAUUUUUACUUUAGUUUUUAUUAUUCGUAUCUUUUUCUACUAAAAUUUGAAAAAGAAAUUCACAUUCACUUCUUCUUGGGUGUAUAUCAUAGGAUUCAAAAUGUUUUUAAAAAUUAUUAAAUUUGUUAAUUGUGACUAUAUGCUUAUUUAGGAUCCAUUGAUCUUAAUAACUUUCUUCCCGAUAUAGGAAGAAAAUGACUAUUCCAUUAAUGCAGCAUGCAUUGCUGCUUAUUUAUCAAGCAAAUUACAUUAUUAUUUUCACACCAAACCUCCAAAUUCUCCAUGCAUAUACGCAUCCUAUACUGCAUGGCCAACUUCAGAGAGCUAAAACAAGCUCUUAUUGAAUACAUGAUAGAUAAUGUCCCACUGACCCUUUUACUCUGAUACCCUGAAAUGAGAAAUUUGGAGGUUUUCCACAUCAAGCUUCUUGAAAUUACUGCGCCUUCUCGUAACAAAGAACUUUCCCCAGUUGUAUGCUCUAUACUUUGGCUUUUCCCCCUUCGUCAGCUCCUCCAAGGGCUUCACCCAAACAUGGUGCCCGGGACUCAAAACGAACGGAAUCGAGAACCUUUCCCUCUCUGAAUUCACCAUCACCCUGUGCUCCACACUUUCAUAAGUAUCGUUGCUCCAGACCUGGUUUAAUAUCAGUAGAAUUAACCAAAUGAGUGAAAAAUUCCUUGAGCCAAACACUACUGAUAAGCAUGUACUUGUAAUUCAAAGUUCUUGGGUGGUACCUGAACUAUAUCCCCAACAUUGAUGAUAUAAGCAUCUGGGGUGGGCUUAACUCGAACCCAUUCUCCAUCAGUUUUUCGCUUUACUUCCAACCCUCCAACAUCAUCCUGAGCAAGGAAAGUUAAGGCUCCGGAAUCCUUGUGGCGACCAAUGCCCAGAGCUAGGUGAGGAAUGGAGCAAGGUGGGUAGUGAUUGAGGCGGAUGAAGUUUGUUGAUUCUUCAAAGAGAAGAUUGAAUCUGUUCUCUGGCAAACCUAAGCUCAGAGAGAGGAGUCCCAACAGAUUGACAGCUAGUUUUUCCAUUUCUCUAGCAUAUUCUUCACAUACCUCCCUGUAUAAAUCAGCUCAAUUAGAACAAAAAAACUUAAGUAAUUCACUGUAGUGACUGUGCCUUAGCUGGUGGAAUUUGUACCUUAAUUCAGGAGGGUACUGAGGCCACUGAUUGAUCAGCUUUUCGAGCUCCUUGUCGUCAGGAUUAGGCGAAGCAGGGAUGAAGGCGGGGGAUGACGCCACGAUAUCAAAGACUUCCUUCCAGUCCCUAACGUUCUUGGUAUGCUCAGUAUCGAAAUACCCAAAAGGAUUCACCUCAUCUCUACUCACCUUCCUCUUCUCCUCCAAUGGCAGAGCGAAGAACUUCCUCGCCGCAUCCUCAAUUUUACGACGAGACUCGGAGGGCACCCCAUGGUUGAUGACUUGAAAGAAGCCCCAGUUCUUGCACGCAUCAGCUAUUUGAGAAACAUGGUUGGAAGCAUUGGCGGAAGAGAGAUCAAUGAGGGGGAUGCCUUCAGCUUCGAUAACAGCGAGCUUAGGCCUAUGUUGGGUGUCUUGGAUGAAAGCUGGAUCGACCUCUCCCAUGGCUGUGGUAGUGGUUAGAACUUAGAACUUAGAAAUGGCGGUUAUGCACUGCUGGUGUUAGCUGCACGUGAAGAUGGUGAGGGGGACUUGGCCACUUAGCAGGUGGUUUUUGUAGUGUAGUGGGGUUGGUUUAGUACAUUGAACCUGGACAUAAUUGGGGUUACGUUUUAAGUUUUGGUUGGGGGUGUGGGCUCAUGGGUUGCGCAAAUGUCAAUGAUAAUUGGUCAAGUGAUACCAAGUUAUUUCCAAAAUCUGCAGCCGCAAAGGGUAUCUCUCUCGAUGAUUUUGGCAACGUACAGCACUCUCCACAUUCAAAUGUUUGAUCAAAGAUACGUUUUGUUUAGUGUCGUGUAUAUUUUCGAAUUAAUUACUUCAUAUUUAGGGAUACGUUUUGUUGAGUAUCGUGUAUAUUUUCGAAUUAAAAACUUCAUAUUUAGGGAAAAGUGUGCUUCAAUACGCUAAUAUAAAAAUAUCAGCAAAAUAAGAUCCUAAUUUUUCAUAUUUUAAGGUUUAUAAUGCAAUUGGAAAUUAUUUGGAGAAUUAUGCAUUUUCAGCUCAUGUGUAUUUCAAAUCCAAAAUGCUCUCCACCUUGCCAGCCAAGUCUUACACGUUGAAAGUAAAGAGAGAAAAAAUCUUCAAAAAGCCACCAAAACCAAUUUCUCUUUCUUUUUGAGUUAUUUGAUUCAAAAGAUCAAUAAAAUCCAAUUUUUAAAAUUUAACCCUUUGUUCUUUUUUUUUUCAUUUUGAUAAAAAUAUCUUUACCAUUUUCUUGUAGAAAUAACAUUUUUUUUAAACCUAUAUGUAAAUACUUGAAAUGGUAAGAGACGUGUACAUUAAAAAAAAGUUAUUUUUCAAGUAAAAAUAUAGAAAGGAUUAUUUCAUCCCUUUUAACCAAAUAUUUAACAUGAUCAAGGACUAUUCCCUAAAUGAAGGCAUACGGUAGCAAAUACCCUUAAUCUAAACAUUAAAAGUACAACUUAUCUAGUAUCAAACACUCUGUUUUAAAACCCAUAGCCACUCCAAAUAUCCCAAAUAUUCUUUUCUAUGCAACCUCUCUCUCUCUCUUUCUCGCACAAACACACUAAAAUAUUUUCUCAAACUUGGAUUUUUCUCCACAACUCAACCCUAACUUCCUUUCUAUUUGUACCAAGGCUAGAGAAUAUAGUUUAUACUUGUAUUCCUUCAUGUACCAAGCCCACAAGAUGAUCAAUAAGUUUCUCUCUAGAUUUUACAUUGGAGUUGAUUGAUGAUAGUACCCUUAUUAGGUAGUAUAUUAUCUUCCUUAGGUACUGCUUUUUCCAUCCUUAGAUACUACCUUUGUAACCUUGGGUGCAUGAUUGAAUCCAUUGUUUCAUGGCUACUUCAAGUAAGUCAGGAACUUAUGUACAUGUGUGCUACAUGUCUUAUAGAUACUAAAUUUACAUUCUUUAGGUACUACCUUUACCUUCCAUGGGUACAAAUACGGUUAAUGAUAAGAAUUUUAAUAUAAAAAAGGGAAAAACCCUGCUUGAUAAUAAAAUUGCAUAUAUUUUCUUUCUUUCUUUCCUUUUUGAUUGAUUUUUUUUUUUUUUGGUCUUUGCUUUGGUUUUUAUUUAUGUCUUUGUUUCUUUUAGUCUUUGUGUGUGUGUGUUUUAUUUUAUCUUAUUUUCAUCUCUAUGCAGAAGAUGUAGAAGAAACAACAUCACAUCAUAAGGUGCAUUUUUCCGUUCAUUUAAGACUAAAGGUUUUGGAUUCACAAAAUGGUGGGAACUAAGGGUGAGAAGCUGGAAAAAUGUUGGAUUGAGCUACAUUUGAUCAAUGGUGAAUUUGCAAAAAAGAUUGUAGGAGAGUGUAGACCCUCAAUUUUGUCCCUUUAGCACAUGUUUUAAAGUCCAUUACCAAUACUUUACAGUAAUCUCUUGGUAGCCCAUAGCUACUCACGCUACUUACCUUUCUUGAGCCACCUCGGAGACUCUAGUUGAGGGAUUGCCUAACCCCUUAUUGUGACCCUUGGCAGUUUUGAUUUAGACUUAAGGUUUUCAUUCCUUCUUAGGAUAGCUCUUAGGUGCACUUUUAGGUCCACUUAGGCAUCACCCUUGGCUAAUUUAGACAUUUUGGGCCCGUUUAGACACCUUAAACUCGCCUAGAUUCACCUUAGACCCGCUUAAGCACUUCAUUGGGGCUCAACAUUUUUAUAUAAUCUCUUGAUCAUUAUUGCAUGCAUUUGAUGAUUAUAUUUUCUUUGUUUAUUCAUUUAUUUGUUUGUUUAUUUAUUCAUCCAUUUAUUUAUUCAUUUUUUAAUUUCUAUUACGUCUUGUUUUUUUUUUUCUUUCUUUCUUUCAUUUAUUUACCUACUUAAUAGAGAAUUGUUUAGAUAUUAAAUAUGCAUACAACCCCCUUAUUGAAUGAUGGAAUUGUACAAUCUGAUAUCUCAUUUUCUCUUUCAUUUUCUUUUAAUCGUAUUUCACUUUAUUACCAAUUUCAUGACUUUCAUUAGUUGCUUCUCUUUUCCUUUGAUUUUUUAAUCUUAUCUUAUUUUGUUUUGCAUAAGGAGCACCAUCUUGGGGAGUACAAGAGGAUCUACAUUACUGGUUUGAUCAACAUAUGUUUGAGACUAAAAGCCUUCAAGAUGGCAAAAGAUGGUCAUCACAGCCCCAUGCUUCUUCUUCCCAUCUCUCAUAAUUGAAGCCUCUGUACAAAACUUCAUCAUAUCCUGAACAAUAGCAGCCACAGCAGUUGCAGCCACAGCAGCUGCAGCCACAGCAACUGCAGCCACAACAGCUGCAGCCACAGCAGCUGCAGCGACAGCGGCAACCACAGUUAAUGCUGCAACAGCAGCCACAGCAGCAUAGACUGCAUCAUCCAGUUCAACCUUCAUUUGGUCAUUUAUCAGGGUUGCAGCCCCAACUAUUUAAUCCCCAUCUUUCCCCAGCUCCACUCAUCAUGAACAAAUAUGAAGCAAUGCUUGGGAUAGGUAAUCUGAGGGAUCAAAGACCCAAGUCAAUGCAAAAAGGUAGACCAAAUCAUCGGGUUUCUCAACAGGGCUUGGAUACUAGCAGUCGGAAGAGUGAUGUUGGUGGCCACAGUUCAGAUCCAAGUAUAUGACAGCUGAUGAAAUCGAAAGUAUCCUUAGAAUGCAACGUUGCGGAACAGAUGGAUGAGUAGAAAGGAAAAUAGCAUGAAAAUAGAAAGGAAGUGACCACUUUGUGCACAACACGCAUAUAGUGGGCUGUAAGGGGGAUUCUUUUUUGUUUAGAAAGAAAAGUCAACUUGUAUCACUUACUAAACGAGAUGUGGCUGCAUCCUUGAGGGAAUCUCCCAAUGAGCCACCAUGUAUGCACUUUCCUUAUCCAUGUGCAUUGAAAAAGGAUAUAGAAUAUUCAAUAGAGGAAAGGUGCUGCCAUAUAGAAGGAAGGUGCUGCCAUAUAAACAUGUCACAGAGAGAACACACGGUGGACUUUUCUUUUGGGAGCAGAAAUUCACAUACAAAAAGUAAUCUUUUUUAGAGGAGAUGAACACACGCAAGAGUUUUUUUUUGGGAGCGGUAGAGGACCUGAACGACUAAUUGGGCUGCCAUUUUGACACAUCAAGAAAGUAUUUUUCCAAUACAAUACAGGUUAGUUUUCGAUUUUUGAUACCGUAUUUCCUUUUUUUUUUAGUUUGGGUUUUAGUUGUUUGGUUUAAUUAAUUGUUUGUGAUAAAUUCUUUUAAAUCUCGAUUUCGAACAAUCUUUUAUUUUUCUUAUAUUAAAUGUCUAUCUUUUAUGAUUGCAAUUCAUUAGUUCUAUGCUAGUUUAUUUUUAAUUUACAUGAAAGUUUAAAUAAAGUUUAUAUUUUUAAUUCCAAUUAGUUUAUUUUUAAAUUUGAAUGAGUUAUCGAUCUUAAUUAUUUAGUUUAAUUGACCUUGUGAGAUAAAAUUUAUAUUUUUAAUUCUAAUUAGUUUAAUUUUAGUUUAUUUUUAAUUUGAAUGAGUUAUCGAUCUUAAUUCUUUAGUUUAAUCGACCUUGUGAGAUAAAAUUUAUAUUUUUAAUUCCAAUUAGUUUAAUUUUAGUUUAUUUUUAAUUUGAAUGAGUUAUCGAUUUUAAUUCUUUGGUUUAAUUGUCCUUGUGAGAUAAAAUUUAUAUUUUUAAUUCCAAUUAGUUUAAUUUUAGUUUAUUUUUAAUUUGAAUGAGUUAUUGAUCUUAAAUCUAUUAGUUUAAUUGGACUUGUAAGGUAAAGUUUAUAUUUUUAAUUCCGAUUAGUUUAAUUUUAGUUUAUUUUUAAUUUGAAUGAGUUAUUGAUCUUAAAUCUAUUAGUUUAAUUGGACUUGUAAGGUAAAAUUUAUAUUUUUAAUUCUAAUUAGUUUAAUUUUAGUUUAUUUUUAAUUCGAAUGAGUCAUUGAUCUUAAUCUAUUAGUUUAAUUGGUCUUGUAAGGUAAAGUUUAUAUUUUUAAUUCCGAUUAGUUUAAAUUCUAGUUUAUUUUUAAUUUGAAUGUGUUAUCGAUCUUAAUUCUUUAGUUUAAUCGAUCUUGUGAGGUAAAGUUUACAUUUUUAAUUCCAAUUAGUCUAAUUCUAGUUAUUCAUGUGUUUCUUGAAAUCUAAAUGUUAGUUUUUGAAUGAUAAUUUUGUUAGUUUGUUUGAUUAGGAAGUCAUAAAUUUGUUGUCUUAGUGAUUGUUGGUCAAUUUUUUUUUAGGACCACUGGAAACCCAUGAAGGUUGGCCUUUACUCUCACCACUUUAAUUGAUAAGAUUUUCUAAAAUCUUUAUUUCGUGAUCUUUGUUUCCUUUUGUUUUGAUUGAUAUUUUGUUUUCUAUUUUUGUUAUUUUAAAAAUUAAUUUCUUUUAUUUUAAAACAAAACUCUUUUUCUCAAAAAAACCCUUUUUAAAAUUUUUUUUUUAUUAUUCAUUUAAAGCCUCUAGAAUCAAAAUCUAUUUUCUUUUUUAAAAAAUAACAUGCAACCAUAUCUUAAUCAGUUUGCAUCCUUCUCAAUUUUCAACAAAAAUAUCCUUCUCAAUUUUCAACAAAAAUUUUGGUUUUAAACAAAACGCGAAUCAAAGCUUGUGGUCCCAAAUAAAUGGAACAAUUUUAGGCUAAAUUCAUGUAUAUUAAUUUGGGGAAUUGGUGAAACCCCUACAUAAGAAAAUCUUUUCAAAAUUUACUUUUGCUACCACCCUACUAUUUAUCAUAAUCAUAUUUACUUUUUUUCUUUUUAGGAAUUGUAUACAAGAUAUGUAUGAUAAUUAAUUAUUCCGAGUUCUGAUAAUUUUUGCUAAUUAAUUAGAUAAGCAUGCUAGGAUUUAUUAUUUAUUAUCUAUUAUCUAUUAUCUAACCCUCAUGUUCUGAGGAAGUGCAUUAGGAGUUAUAUAUGCUAUCCAGGUACGUUCCCAAAAUCUCAUGAAUAUGCAUGUCAUUACCCUUGUUUGAUGCCAUACUUGAUUGCCUCGAUGCUUGUUUGAUCAUCCUUGAUAAAAUGCAUGUCGUGUGUCAUAUUUCUGAAUUAACCAUUGAUGUUUAAUGAUAGUGCUUAAGAAGUGGUUCAGGUACGCACCCUAACUCUCCUUUAUUGUGAUUGAUCUCCUUAUUUAGCAUGCUACUUUCUGAAAAUCACCUAGCUUACUUAAGUAUCCAUAAUUAAUCAAUUAAUUGCCUCAUUUCCCCAAUUUAGUCAGUAAAGACCUCUUUAGGGCUUAGAAGGGUGCUACCUCCUAGAGGUACCUUCCCAAUAAGUAACCUGAUCCCCGGACCUAGACUCGGGUUUUUCAAAGACAUGUUUUUUUCAAAAAUUAUGGAGUCACAUUUUAGGGUUUUUCUUUCUUGUUUUAUUUUCCCUUUAAAAUAAAAAUAAAAUAAGUGGCGGCUCCAACUUUUCCAAAACUAAAUAAUUUUUCACAAAUAAAAAAAGAGUCUCGCCAAUCGAGUGGGGACGCAUGUGAAAAAUGCAGGUCCACAGAGAGGUUUCUUGAGGUGGACAAGGUCAGAAGCAAAGAGCCUUUCCCUACUUUUUGGGGUUGGUUCCUUGAGUUCUUAGGAAGAACUUAGUUAACGUGUGAAUUCAUUCAGGGUAAUUUAUGUAAGAUUUUCUAGAUUUUGCAAGUGAAUGCACCUUAGCUUUUCCUAUUGUAUUUGUGUUUUUUUAGGUUGAUUAUUUUAUUGAUUGUCACCACUCAAGGAAUGGAAGCAAUAGGGUCUCUAGAUGUAGUGCCUAAAGGCAAGCAUACAGGCGUUGUUAGGAGUGUGCUUCCCAUGUCCAACAAGCAUAUUGACACCACCCAAAGCCAAGGCAUCUUUGGACUAGGAGUUCUAGCUUCUACUUAUGUGGACUUUGUAGAUGCAGUCUGGCUCUUCGAAAUAUUUAUUGUUAUGUAGUAGUUAUACACAUGUACUUUGUUUAAGUGAAUUGAUUUUUGGAUUUUUACUUAAAUCAAAUUUAAGGGUAUGUUGUUUAAUUUACUAGAGAUCUCUUGUUUGUAAUUCUCGUUAUCAUAUAUAGAUCUUUGUUAGUAUUUGCCAAUUUCCUCAAUAGCAACUGUAUUAGUUAUCAAUGGAAUGAAUCUUGAGUAACUUGUAGUAUCAUUUUUGGUUUUGAAUUGGCUAAUCUUUUUUGGAAGAAUGAAUUAGAUAUAUGAGCUUGAUUGCAAGCAAUAGUUGAGUUUGUUUUGAUCUUGGGGUAUUUGCCUUAUUGAUAGGACAUAGAUUUUGGGUCCAAAUAGUUGGAAAUUGAUGAGCUUAACCAGGACAUAGAUUUUAUCCCCUUGGGAGAACCACAACACUAACCAGUGUUCCUACAAAAGCUAAUAACCAUGAUUUAGAAAUGUGAUUUCCCUAAAGGGAAGCAUUUCUAAUCUUAUUUGAAGGGAAACUUUGAUGUCUUCCUUAAUACACUAGAAUAUUAAUUUAAAAACAACAAUUAAGGUUAUAUUAACUAUUAUAAUAAUUUAUAAAUUACAUAAAUAUGAUAAUAACUAUUAAAAUAAAAGUAUUAAACAUAAAAAUGUUUAAUUCUGUUGGGUAAAAACUUCAUAAAUAUUUUAUUAUUGAACUUCUAUCAUAUGAUCAAACAUAGUGAUGAUCCUUAGUUGGAUUAAUUAACACUUGUUUCAUAAAUUGAACAACAUAUAACAUGAUCAAUAAACAAACAAGUAAACAUCAUACUAGAUAAAACUAUCUCUUAAGAUUUCAAUUAUUACAUGUUUAAAUUACAAAUCAUAUUUUUGCAACUUUCGUAAAGUUAUGCAAUAGAUAUAAUUAAAAUUAUGAAACAUUGAAAAUGUAUAUUGAUUCAUUAUUCAAAUUCAUCAUAUCAUAUAUAUACUUUAGUUGUCCAUAAGAUCAAAUAAUAACCAAAAUUCGAAAAAUAUGUUUUAUGAUCCAAAAUUGAUUGACACUAAUAUCAAUUGUUACAUAAACUUUAUGUGAAAUAAUUAUUUUGGAAAAUCAAUUUGGAUGCAUAAAGCAUAAUAGUUAUAAGAAAUAAAGAAAUGACAAAAUAAUAAUUAUAUUUUUGUCUUAAUCCAUGAUACCGAUAACACUUUUAAAGUGAGUUCGAGUCACUUUGUGAAUUGUUGGGUCAAGGUAUUCAACUCAUCAUUCUCAUUUAGUAGAUGAGACAAUUGUGUGGUAUAUGUUGUUAUAAGCAAAACAACUAAAAACAUAAGAAUACAAUACAACUUAGGACCUUAACUUUAAAAAAAGAUUUAUAACUCUUAAUCUUCUCAUAAAAGAUUAUAUGAGAGUUAUACUCAUUAUUUUUAAACAUUAUAUAUAAAUUAAUGGACAAUAGUAAACUACCAACUUGAAUACAUUCAUGUAAUUAUAUAAAUUACACUUUUUCAUCUUCCUCUAUUAGUCAUAAACUUUAUAUAUAAAUUAAAUCUCAUAAUGAUGGAGUUACAAAAGUUGUAAUACCAUAUUCGUAUAAAUGAAAAUUUUCUAACUCCAUAUUUAUAAUUUUAAUUUUCUAUGUUAGAAGUUGAAUUUGUUCCACAUCGCCAAGUUACCGGGUUAUUAUGUUGUUUAUAUAUGUGGAUUGGGCACCCUCUCCCUUUAAGCAAGCUUUUAGGGAUGAAUUAUAUUCAAACCCAUUUAACAUGGUAUCAGAGCUUGGUUUGACUGGGGGUCGUGGGUUCAAGCCACCUCUUCGCAAUUCGUAUGUUUGUUCCUCAUUUGCAUGUUUGAAAGUCUAGAAAAGGGUAUUUGCAUUUGUUUGUUUGUCCCUUCACGUGUGGAUAUGGGGCCACACAUAAGAUAUGGUGUUAAAAAGCAUGAAAUGUAUAUUGAACCCAAAUCUUAUAAGUUUAAGCUUUUAGGAAAAUUAGUAAUUCAACAUUCUAUACAUAAAAUUAUUUGAUGUCCAAUCAAUUGAUUCACCUACCUAUCAAUUAAUAUACUUUUAAAUAAAAUAUAUUUCAAUCCAUUACACAAAUAUAAUUAAAACAAAGUACUAUAAUAAUAUGAGUAUGUGACAAAUAAAUAAAAUAAAAAUAAUCACAUGUUACAUGUAAACUAUAUUCAAAGGAAAAACCACAAGUCAUCCCCACUAUUAAACAAUCCAUUGUAUAAUGAUCAAUUACAAAGACCAAGUAUUACCAAACUUAAAAGUAUCUAAAUCAUACUCACUUUGCACAUUUUCUUUAUACUUGGAUCCUUUAAACUCAUUUAUCCCAAUGUGGAAGCAUCUUGAGUUCUAAUCAAGGAAAUCAACCUUUACUUCAUCAAGUUAAAGUCUCUUUAUAUCAUUGACAACCAUAUCAAGAUUUCUUUUGUUGGUUGCUUUCAAAGUCCCACUAGAAUUAGAUUGAAAUUUUUAUAAUCUCUAGAACUUUAACAUAUUAAUUCUUCAAUGAGUCAAUCAAAUAUUAAGUUUUAUCUCCAUAGAUGGACCUCAAUGAAUUUUUCGACAAAGGUGUUAACACUAAUUUCAUAUUAGUAAAAAAAAAUCAUGUGACACAUAUUGAUAUAUAUAUAUAUAUACUAAUUUCAUAUUCAUAGAUUGAAUUCAUGAGAAAAUUAUUCUUAAUUUUGUAAAAAUUAUAUAUAUAAGAAAGUUUUUAGGCUUACUAAAACACAUUACUAACCAAGUGGCAAUAUAUUUAUAAUUUAGGUCUCAUUAUUUUGUAAUCAAGUUUCAUUCAUUUGUAUCAUAUAUGAGUCCUAUUAUGUCAUACCUUACUCUUAUUACAUUGUACUUUGAUCUUAUUUGUUUAAACAUCGAUUUCAUUUCUUUAUAUGUACAUCACAUUUAUUUAUAUCUCAAUCUUAAUUAUUUGUAUCUUUAUUUAACAGUUUAGAUUUCAUUACAUAUUUUUAAAAUUUUAAUUUGAAAUUCGAUAUCUUAGUAUUUUUCUAAAAUAGCUACCUAUAAUCCUUGUAGAGUACUCAAAAUUCACUCCAACCCAUAAAAAAAAAUGACCUCUCUUCGUAAGUUGCUAUACUCAUUGCUAAACUAUAAUUCCAAAAUUAGCAGAACUUUUCAUACUUAUUCUAGGCAAUUAGAGUUGAGAUGUUCCGGGCAUAUACCAUAUUCUUUCAAGAUUUGAAAGAAAUGUUACGAUUUCAGCAUUAAAUAAUGCAUGUCGAUUAACAAUAUUGCUCAGAUUCUUUAGGCAAAGGUCCACAGACAAAAAAAUUAUUUAUUUAUUUUCUGAACCACCCCUGAAAUUGACACCUCCCAUACAGUCUGAUCUGCAUUUCUGUGGCACUAUUUCCCUUAUUCCUAACCAUAAAUCUGCUGCCAUCUCAAUAAUUCACAUCCUUAUCCACUCCUUAUCUAGGGUUGUAACACUUUUUUCAAAAAGAUUUUUUUUUUUUUUUUUCGAAGGGGUGGAUAAGGGUCCUGAGACAAGCUGUGGUAUAAUUAUAAACCCACUUGGGUAAUGGUUUCAUUGUCAGGGUAAUUCUAUUUAAGGUGAAAAUCAGCUGGGUCUAUCAUUCUUGUUUCCAUGUGACUGUUUCCAAGGAGAACUCAACCCUCAAAUCCAUCGAGCAGUCAUAUAAAAAUACACGCAGAUUUCAUAUCUUGAAGCUUGUCCUGUGUUCAGAUCGGAUAACUCACUCAUAUGCCUAAUCACUAAUCGCCAACUUGAGUGUAAAAAAAGCGUGGGGCGAUAUUAUUUGUAUAUGGGUUUGACUGUUUGAGAGAGAAAGGUGGGGUGUCCCUUGGAGGAGUCCAAAGGCCAUUUUUGAACCUGCCUUUGAUUAUCGCCAUGGCAAAUCAACAGCUUGUAGUAUAUAUAUAUUAAUGGAGACCAAGACUCAAAUAGAGAGAGAGACGCGGGGAUGCGAUAAAGAGAACAGUAUAGCCAAGAGUAUAUAAGCAUUUCUCUUGCUGUAAUGGUGAUUCAGAGACUGGAAAUGUGUAUAUCACUGCUGAAAAUGGCAGUAGAGUUUGUGCUUGUUUUCGCGGAGGCAGUCGGGCUAGUCAUCAACCACAAUGCCACGCCGCUUUUGGCAAACUCAGCCUCAGUUGGCAAUGAUGUUUCUGUCCCUUUUAUCGGUUUUCUUCUUUGAAUUCUUCGUCUUGUAGUUUCCUUCCUUACCAGAAUGCUCAUUGGCCAUUGUAUAUGUUGAGGGUUCUUUUUUGCCUUGAUAGAUUUUCUAAAGGAUGUGCAUGUUUGAUAGGAGAGAGUAUAUAUACACAUCUAUGUAAACUUUGAUUAAAUUUUGUUCUGGGUGAGCUUCAUUUUCUGCAAAUUCAUUUGCUGAUAGCUUUGGAAACGAAUCUUCAGUUGUUUGGGUGCUGAUUAUUUGCUUGCUUCACACGAUUUUAUGUGCUGUUCCUUUGGUAAUAAUCUUGUUGGGUGGAUCAAGGAGAAGAGCGAAGAUCUGAGGGAAAAUAGAGUCUGGAGAAAGAAAAGAUGUAAUGAUGAUUAAGAAAGGCUUUAAUAUACUUGCAAGAUCAGGAAAAAAUAUUUCUUGGGUAUCAAUUAUUUUCUUGCUUGAUAUGGGUUUGAUACUCUUUUUCAAUUGGUGAUCAUUCUGGGAAGAUCAAGAAGAAGAAAAUGGGGUCUAGAUGAAGAAAAGCUAUAAUGGCGAUUAUUAAGUGGAAUCAGAUGAAAUAAAAGUCUGUUUCCAUCAUUCUUAAUAUGGUUUCUUUUGUCAAAAAUGGAAGAUGACUUGAUUUUCAUAGUCCCAGCAGGACUUUAGUACUCAUCAAACUCAUAAAUUUUGAACAACUUUGAGCUAACCUUCUGCAUUAAUUUGGUGCAUCUGCGCAGUUGCAGAGUAUGAACACCCACAAAAUCUUAAUAUGAAUCUUUUGGGGCAAUAGCUUCUAUAUAUGAUGGAUGAUAAGAACAAAGCAAAUCUUGGGUUCUCCAUGGGCACGAUCAUUUAUCCGCCAUAUAAAAUGCAGAUUUUCCUAACACCAACCCCUUAUUUUAAUAAAGUCAAGUUAUUUUAAGGCCCCCAAUAUUAGACAUGCCUUAGAAUCAUUGGGUCUGUGAUUAAAAAUGUAGUAAUAUCAUUUAAAAUACCUAACACUGAAAUUUUGAUAAUUUUGAAUGCCAUAGUGUGGAUUUGAAGAAAGAAAUCGCAUCCAAGAUCUCUUCCUUUUCCUGGGAAACAUUAGUCUUGGUCAAUUAUGAACUGUUACACGUUGCCUAUCAUGGUCAUAUUUAUAUUAGCUUUGAUUUCUAUGGGGGAUAUAAUUUAUUUGUAUGCUAAUCAUAGAGGUGAUACAUGUGAUCCACAUGUCAUAUUUGGACUUGGAAGCAAUCAUUGGAUUCCUUUGAUGAACUGGCAAUGGAAGAAUACUAAUUGCUCCGGUCCCUUUCUUUUUUCAAAGUAGGAUGAUCAGGUCCUUUGAUCCCUUCGACUCCCUCUGGCUGUUUUUCUUUGUUCUUUUUUCAAUCAUCCAUAGCUUAAAAUUAAAGCCUUGAUGCCCUCCUCGACUUUCCCAAGAUAAAACACCUUAUCUUCACUUUAUUUCUCUUCCCUUUAAAUUUGAUUUUAGAUCUGAAAUCCAGGGCUUAUGACCCUGUAGAAGAAAGACAGAUAUGAAGCUUGGGAUGAUUUGAACUUCAGUUUGAUUUUCUGCACACUCUGUUAAAACUCCUGAAAUAUAGUUGUAUAUUGCAAUACAUUUAAUUGUUUGAUACAUCUGAACUAUGAUGUUCUAUUAGUAAAAAUUUCUUUGAAUCAAUCCACGGCUCAAAGUACCAAUUUCUAUUGAAACUUUUUUUCUUUUCCUGCUCAUUCAAUUGUUUCAUUUUCCACAUAAUGGUAUGACAACAUCAAGAAUACUUCUCAGCAAUUGCCUGCAGGUGAACCCAAAGCUCUUUUGGCUUAGAGAUCAUGACCAUGUGAUCAGAUCCUUUAAUCUCUUUAACAGCAUCAGGUGGGUUUUUUUCAAUCAUCCAGAGUUGAAAAUCCCUUUUCCCCAGCUUGUCUUCCUCUGAAAUAAUAAAGACACGUUUAACCGAGGCAUAUUUCUUCGACAACAUGAGCUCAUUUGACAUGUCUUCUUCAAUGAACAAGCGUACGGGUCUCAUCAACACAGUCCCUAGUGCCAAGUCCUGGAAUAUUUGUGCCCGAAAUGAUAUGACAACAACAAUGAAGGUCUCAUGAUUUUGGUUGUAAGGCCUUAAUAAAUGGAGUUCUCACCUCAGUUGGGCUCAACUGAUACACAUUCAGUGAUAAGAACAAGGGGCCAAAGCUGAAAGUGGUGGGAGGAUUGUUGGGGCCAUUAUCAUAUGUGAACUGGCUGUCUAGUAGAGGACCUUGUCUCCUGAGUGACUUCAAUAAGAAGUAGAAACCAGGCUAAAAGUCAGAAACAGGGGAAGCCUUCCCCUCUUAAUCAGCAAGUAAAUUUCUGUAAAAGAAAAAUAGUAUGUAUGAAGUACCUCUUGAUUGAGAGUGGAAAUGUUGAGAGUGGGACCAGGCAUUGAGGCAGUAACAAAAACAGCUACAGAAACCUUUUCUGGGAACUUCUCCAUGGCCUGAGAAAUGGCCAAUCCACCCAAGCUGUGUCCAACGAGAACCACCCUCUCAUCUGCAGGGAGUGACUCCACGAAGUCCCUCAGUGGCUGGAAAUACCAAGAAAUUGAUCGCAGAUCACCCACUUGUUUUGGGUUAAUUCCAGAAGCAGCCAAGUCCAGAGCAGUAACUUUGUGGCCAGAUGAUUUUAGUAGUGCCACAAUCUUGUACCAAGACCAGGCACCAUGGCAAGACCCAUGAACUAGAACAAAGUGCUUGACGGGAUUAGCCUGUCUCCCCUCUGAUGCCAUUGGAUACACUGAAGAAACAAGAAAAAUCAGAAAGGAAACAAAAAUCAUAUGCUUCUUCCUUGCUUCCAUACUCCUUUCCUGUUACAGAGAUGGUCAGCACCCCAGCAUUUUAAAGGGCACAAUUGGGUAGGUUUUCACUACAACUACUAAUCUAAUUGAUUAAAAAUUUUCCCGUGAAAUUGACUCUAGAAAUAAAAUAAGGACUAAGGAUUCAAGAACACGUACACUUUGACUGCCAGAGUUUAUGUCUUUUCAUAGAUGACACAUGCACCUGCGUCACACUCUUUUUCAAUGAUAAAGAAGUUAUGCAAAGGAAGAAAGAAUGAAAUAUACAGAGUCAAGUAGUUAACUCCUCCCCUUGAAUUCUUCUCUUGCCCGGAUUGGUUUGUAACUGCAAACAUUUUCUUUUCCCAAUGUGAUCUGUGGAUUGAGUUCUGAUCUCAAUUUGUUUUUGGCAUUUUUGGUUUUGCUUCUGCAAAUCUUGAGAUGUAUCUUUCAAUUAAUAUAAGUUGUGCAGUUAAGGUUUUUGGACAUAUAAAAUGUUAGCCAAACCUUUCCCGUGGCAGGUUGAAGGUACUUUGGGGUAGGCUUGGUCAUGCUUGAUACCUCAGUCUGACUCAAACAUGAUGUUUUCACCCAUUUGAAUUGAUCAAAGUUGUGUUGACUGGCAUGAUUCCUUUAAUAAAGAAGUUGUUUUAGGAUUAAGGCGUACAACACAAAUUUGACUUAAGUAGAUCUAUUUAAUUAUUGUGUAUUAACAUAAUUAUAAUCAAUUGAGUCGAAAAUGAAUUAAAUUAAAAAGUUAAUUUUAUUGAUUUAAAUAAGACCUAAUUCAACCUGAUUAUUAAAUUACUCAACUUAUUAUAUGAUUUGAACACUGCCCACCAACAUUAAUUGUAACCCGUGCUUUGAGUUCAGGUGGCAGCAAGAGUUUGGCCUUUGUUUUGAGUGUUGGAUGAAUGUUGGAUUAACCUUUCCCAUGGCUGUCAAAUUCCUCAUAAAUUAUUGGUGAUUGUAAUAAUUUCCUCAAAAAGUAAUGGUGCUAUAUGCUUCUUUAGGAUCCAUUGAUCUUAAUAAUUCUCUUCCUGGUAUAGGAAGAAAGUGACUAUUCCAUUACUGCAGCUUUCAUUGCUGCUUAUUUAUCAAGCAAAUUACAUUAUUAUUUUCACACCAAAUCUCCAAAUUCACCAUGUACUUAUCCUAUAUACUGCAUGGUGAACUUCAGAGAGCUAAAACAAGCUCUUAUUGAAUACAUGAUAGAUGAUGUCCCACUGACCCUUUUACUCUGAUACCUUGAAAUGAGAAAUUUGGAGGUUUUCCACAUCAAGCUUCUUGAAAUUACUGCGCCUUCUCGCAGCAAAGAACUUUCCCCAGUUGUAUGCUCUGUACUUUGGCUUUUCUCCCUUCGUCAGCUCCUCCAAGGGCUUCACCCAAACAUGGUGCCCGGGACUGAAAAAGACCGGAAUUGAGAACCUUUCCCUCUCUGAAUUCACCGUCACCCUGUGCUCGACACUUUCAUAAGUAUCGUUGCUCCAGACCUGGUUUAAUAUCAGUAUAAUUAGCCAAAAGGGUGCAAAAUUUCUUGAUCCCAACAGUACUGAUAAGCAUGUACUUAUAAUUCAAAGUUCUUGGGUGGUACCUGAAUUAUAUCCCCAACAUUGAUGAUAAAAGCAUCUGGGGUGGGCUUAACUCGAACCCAUUCUCCAUUGGUUUUUCGCUUUACUUCCAACCCUCCAACAUCAUCCUGGGCAAGGAUGGUUAAGGCUCUGGAAUCCUUGUGGCGACCAACGCCCAAAGCUAGGUGAGGGAUGGGGCAAGGUGGGUAGUGAUUGAGGCGGAUGAAGUUUGUUGAUUCUUCAAAGAGAAUAUUGAAUCUGUUUUCUGGCAAACCUAAGCUUAGUGAGAUGAGUCCUAACAGCUUGAAAGCUAGUUUUCCCAUUUCUCUAGCAUAUUCUUCACAUACCUCCCUGUAUUAAUCAGUUCAAUUAGAACAAAAAAAAAAAAGUAAUUCACUGUAGUGACUGUGCCUUAACUGGUGAAACUUGUACCUUAAUUCAGGAGGGUACUGAGGCCACUGAUUGGUCAGCUCUUUGAGCUCCUUGUCGUCAGGAUCAGGCGAAGCAGGGAUGAAGGCGGGGGUAGGCACCACGAAAUCAAAGACUUCCUUCCAGUCCCUAACGUUCUUGGUAUGCUCAGUAUCAAAGUACCCCAAAGGAUUCACCUCAUCUCUACUCACCUUCCUCUUCUCCUCCAGUGGGAGAGCGAAGAACUUCCUCGCGGCAUCCUCAAUUUUACGACGAGACUCCGAGGGCACCCCAUGGUUGAUGACUUGAAAGAAGCCCCAGUUCUUGCAUGCAUCAGCUAUUUGAGAAACAUGGUUGGAAGCAUUGGCGGAAGAGAGAUCAAUGAGGGGGAUGCCUUCAGCUUCGAUAACAGCGAGCUCAGGCCUGUGUUGGGUGUCUUGGAUGAAGGCUGGAUCGACCUCUCCCAUGGCUGUGGUAGUGGUUAGAACUUAGAACUCAGAAAUGGUGGUUAUGCACUGCUAGUGUUAGCUGCAGGUGAAGAUGGUGACGGGGAUUUGGCCACUUGGCAGGUGGUUUAGUACAUUGAACCUGGACAUAAAUUGGGUUACGUUUUAAGUUUUGGUUGGGGGUGUGAGCUCACGGGUUGCGCAUAUGUUAAUGAUAAUUGUUCAAGUGAUUUUACCGACAUAAAACAAAAUCUGCCGCCCCAAAGGAAUCUCUCUCAAUGAUUUUACCGACAGCACUCUCCACAUUCAAAUGUUUCAUCCGUAUUUGAAUUGGAGUCUAAUACUCUCAUUGUUUAAUUAACUCCAGCUUGAUUAAUGAAUCCAGUGGUGUCGUGUAUAUUUUCGAAUUCUCUGCUUUAUAUUUAAACCUUCUUGGUUUUUAUGUUCUCAUCCAAUGGUUUAAAACCCAAAAACGAUGCAAAGAGAAAAAGAGAAAAAAAAAAAUAUACAACACAAUUGGAAUUAAAAUAUAUGUAAUAAAAAAAAUAAAAACUAAUUCAUUUUGAGUUUUAUUUUUCAAAAUAAUAACUCUAAUAUAAUAACUAAAUAAAUAAACAUAUAGUAAUUAAAUACAUAAUAACUAAAUAUAUUAAUGUCUUCUCAUAAUUGAGACUUUACAACAUAUACUCAAUUUUUAAACAAUUCUAAAAAAAUAAGUGAAAAUAAUUAAAAAUACUUAAAAUAUGUUACCAACAAAUACCUUAUUGUCCUAACAAAUCUCAAAAACCUUAUUUAGGACCAAUUGAAAAUCAAAAAAAAAUUCAUAUUUCUUUACUCUUGAAAAAAAAAAAUGGUUCUUGAUGACAGUCUCAAACAUAUCCUCCCAUUUGGUUAUUUUAUUGUAUAAGUUUUUCAAUAAAAUAAAAUAAUUAAUGAUAGUGUUUGUAAGGAAAAAUCAAAAUAUCAUACAAAAUUAAUACACAUCUUUUUAUUAUUCAAUAUUUCUAUAUCAUAUUUACAUUUUUUUUUAUAAAAAAAUUAUAUAUAUACAAUGUUUUAAAAACCGGAUCGGAUCGGCCGAUCCAACCGAUGACCGGUCACAUUUUCGGUCCGAUCCACUCUAUUAAACCGUUUAACUAUUGGAUCGGUUACGAACCGCCUAAACCAACGGUCAAACUGGUGAACCGAACAGUCCAUAUUGGCCCAUCAUUUUGCAAGUCCAUUGUAUAAAAAAUUAAAAGUUGUAGGCCAAAAACCAUACUAGGCCAUGUCUUAACAUGACAAAGCCCGCACCCAAACCAUUUAAGUAGGCUCAGUUUUGAGCCCACAAGGUGGGCAUGCUGUUGCUUUCAAUGAGGAUACUUUUUAUAGGCAUCCUUUGCACCCUUAUUUCUCUCACAAUCCGAUGUGGGAUUGCAAACUAAUAUGAUAAUAUCAAUGAAAAAAAUUUAACAAAUGCAACAAGAGGGAGGAUUUGAAGUGGGACCUCAGGUUUUGUAAAUAAACUAGGACACCACUCGGCUACUUAUUUGAUAUGCCAAACAAAACAAUAUAUGUUGGAUUUUAAUUUUUUUUUAAUAUUAAAUAAAAAUAAUAUAAUAUUUUUAAAAAUUAUAAAAUUAGUUAAAUUUUUCAUUUUGAAUAUAUUCACAUUUAAAUAUUGUACACAUUUCAUUUAAUAUGAUUUAAUUUGAUAAUAUCAAAUAUAUAAAAUAAUAUUAUUGAUUUUUAAUUUAUUCAUAUAUAUUUUAAAAUUUUUAUAAUUAUUUUUAAUUUUAAUAAUAUAUAAAUUACAUAUUUAUGACGUCAUCGGUUCGACCGCGGUUCGACCAUCGAUUCGACCGCGGUUUGAUCGGUAAACCGUGAACCGGUAACUUUUUCGAUUCAAUGACCCAUCCGGUUCUGAAAACAUUGUAUAUAUACAUAAUUUUAUCAUUUUUUUAAGUUAUAUUUAAAAUUUUCAUAUAUUUAAUCAAUUUACUAAUAUCAAUAUUUCCUUACAUAUUUUAAUAGUCGUAACCAUACAAAAGAUUGUCAAAUUAAAGGAAACAACACAUGAAAUGAGGAUGUGGAAAAAAAAAACACGAUAACAACGAAAUCAUGAUUUGUUUUUUAUUAUUCAAUAUUAUUAUAUCAUAUUUACAUUUUUUUUAUAAAAAAAUUAUAUAUAUACAUAAUUUUAUCAUUUUUUUUAAGUUAUAUCUAAAGUUUUCAUAUAUUUAAUCAAUUUACCGAUAUCAAUAUUUCCUUACAUAUUUUAAUAGUCGUAACCAUACAAAAGAUUGUCAAAUUAAAGGAAACAACACAUGAAAUGAGGAUGUGGAAAAAAAAAACACAAUAACGACGAAAUCAUGAUUUGUUUAAGGCGAAGGAAAUAAUAGUGAGAUAGACAAAGCUUAUAAUAACAAAGUACUGACAUUAUUAAUAUGUGGAAUUUGGUUUUCAGUUUUUUUUUAGAUUUUUAUAUAUUAUAUCUAUAAAUCUUAAUUCAAAUCUAAGUAAUACUUAAUAGAACUAUGAUGUUUGUUUUUUUUUUUUUUUUGUUUCUUUUAUCUAAAUCUUAAAGCAAUUUGCUUAAAAAUUGAAAUCAUUUUUAAAAUUAUUUGUUUAUUUCAUUUUAAUAGGAAAAAUAAAUAAUUUUACUUUUAACUAUGUAUACCUUAGUGAUGGGAUCAAAUUCCCAACGCAAUCAGUUUGAAUAACAACAUAUGAUUGAAGACGAUCAUCGCUAAAAGCUCUAUAUUCCCCAACCCAAUCAGUUUGAGCUCAAAACCAAGCUGCAAUUCAACCUAGUUUUGCAAUGGAUUGCAUCAGAUUUGUUUCCAAGAAGAUAAAAAUAAAACGAAACUUGGAAUAAGCAUCAAUGAAGUGAAUGUGAAACUGAUAGCCAAUAGAGGAUUGUGUAUUUGACACUCCCCAAAAAUCUGACUGCAUUAAUUUGGAGCAGUUCCGUAUAUUGAGUUGCAGAUAAUGGAAAUGGGAAUUCAUGGAUUUUGCCCAGACAACAUGUUGAAUUGAAACUACUCAAUUCAACAGAAAAGAAGCUACCAUGAUGGAGGUUGAGGAGUACUCCAUUGUUGGCAGUGGAGGCUCUCAUACCGUCUGAAGAAGCUAAACCAAAAGAAAUUCCAGCAGAAAAGAAAUGCUUUUUCCCUCAUCUAAAUAAUUGAUUACAAAAUUCUAUACAUAGCUAAUUGUAGAACAAACUUUAAUUAUCUGGAACUGUGAUAACAAACUACUAAUUGGGUCAACCAACUCUCUUGGCAUGAUUUAUUUAGAGUCCAACACCAUGAUUUUUCAGGGACUAAAAGUGGAAAAUGGUCUUACAACAUCAUUGUUCGGAAACUCUGAAAUGAUGAAUCUGAAUGUUUUCGACAGUUUGCUUCUUGAAAUCACUCCUGUUUCUAGUUGCCAUGAACUUUCCCCAGUUGUACUCUUUAAAUUUAGGGGGGUUUUCCUCAUUGGUCAACUCCUCCAAUGGCUUCACAUUCACAUGAUGCACCGGUAAGAAAAAGAAUGGAAUCGAAAACCUUUCCUUCUCACUAUUCGCCACCACCAUGUGCUCCACGCUCUCAUAUUUAUCAUUGCUCCAAACCUGUAUAGUGUUGGAUAAAUAUUGAGAAAAAGUAACACCAAUUUCUCCAACAUGUUUUUCUUUUUUUUUAAAUAAUAAUAAUAAGAUACAAUAUAUAAGACCUAGCUAUUAUAAUACCUAUAAAAAAAACUCAAACCAAUCACAACAUGUCAUGUAUAUAAUUAAGUUUAUUUACUUCGUAUAUGAUUUCAUUUUUCUAGAUCUAGUCUCGAUACUUUUAUCCCUAUCCAAUGCUCUAGAUUUUAUCCUAUACUUUUGAGGAGGUUUUGAAUUGAUAACCUACAAUUUUCCAAUGUGUACAAAUGAAAUUGAAGUCAUUUGAUGGAUCAUACCUGAAUAAUAUCACCAACAUCAAUGAUAUAAGCAUUUGGAAUAGGCUUUACUCCAAUCCAUUCACCAUCAACUUUUCCCUUCACUUCCAACCCUGUGACACCAUCUUGAAAGAGAACGGUUAAAGCUUUGGCGUCCUUGUACCGACCCACAACGAGAGAGCUUCGGCCACGAGAACGGCGGAGAGUGAUAAUUGAGUCGGAUUAAGCUGGUUUGCCAUUGGAAUAACUCAUUCAACUAGUCCCCGGCCAAGCCUAAGCUUAAGAAGAUGAGUUCUAAGAACUUGUUGGCUAAUUUUUCUAUUUCUCCAACAUAUUCUUUCCAAAUUUUCAUGAAAAUAAGUCAUUAUAUAAAAUAUAUCAAUACUCAAAAUGAAUUUAAUAAAAUCUUGCCAUGCCUUUACGUCUCUAUUUGAGUUUGUUUGCCUUUGAGUUGUGCCUUUACGUCUCUACUUGAGUUUGAUCGACUUUGAGUCGCAUUUUUAUGCCUCUAGUUGAGUCUAUUUAGCUUCAAGUCGUGCCUUAACAGUUCGAGUUUAGUCUAUUCGGCUUCAAACCGCACUUUUACAUCUCUUUCAUCUUUGAGCCACGUAUUUAUGUCUCUAGUUGAUUUUGUUUGACUUUAAGCUGCACCUCAUGCCUUUAGUUGAGUCUGUUCAGCUUCUAGUCGUGCAUCUAUAUUUCAAGUUGAGUUUAUUUGGCUUCAAGUUGUGUCUUUACGUUUCAAGUUGAAUCUAUUUGGCUUCAAGUUGAAUCUAUUUGGUUUCAAGUCGCACCUUUACAUCUCUAGUUGAGUCAGUUCAACUUUGACCCACGUCUUUACAUUUCUUGUUGAGUUUGUUCAACUUCAAGUCAUGCUUUUAUGUCUCUAGUUGAGUUUGUUUAGUUUCAAGCCACAGCUCUACAUCUCUAGCUGAGUCUAUUCUGCUUCAAAACAUGCCUUACAUUUCAAGUUGAGUCUAUUCGGCUUCAAGUUGCGCUUUUGCAUCUCUAAUUGAGUCUAUUCGACAUUGAGCUACGCCUUUACUUUUCAAGUUAAGUCUAUUUAGCUUCGAGCAACGCCUUUAUAUUUGGAGUUGAGUCUGUUAGGUUUCAAGCUACGCUUUUACAUCUCUAGUUGAGUCUAUUCGACUUUGAGUCAUGCCUUUAUGUUUUGAGUUGAGUUUAUUCAACUUUGAGUUACAUUUUUGCGUCUCUAGUUUAGCAUGUUCAACUUGAAGCAAUGUCUUAACGUUUCAAGUUGAGUUUGUUCGGCUUUGAGUUGCGCCUUUACGUCUCUAGUUGAGUUCGGCUUCGAGUUGUGCCUUUUUGUUUCGAGUUGAGUUUGUCUUAACUUUGAGUCACACCUUUACGUCUCUAAUUGAGUUUGAUUGGCUUCAAGCUGCGUCUUUAUGUUUCAAGUUGAGUUUGUUCGGCUUCAAGUCGUAGCUUCAAGUCAUGCCUUUAUGUCUCUAUUUGAGUAUGUCUGGCUUCAAGCCACGUCUUUAUGUUUUGAGUUGAGUUUGUUAGGCUUUGAGUUGCACCUUUACGUUUCGGGUUGAGUUUGUUCAGCUUUGAGUCACAUUUUUAUAUAUCUAGUUGAGUUUAUUCGACUUCGAGCCACACCUUUGAGUUUCAAGUUGAGUCUAUUCGGCUUCAAACCACACUUUUACGUAUCUUGUUAAGUCCUAUUCAGCUUCGUGCUAUGCCUUUACAUUUCUUGUUGAGUUUGUUCAGCUUUGAGUAUCGUCUUUAUCCUUAUUAAGUUCAUUCGGCUUUAGUCGUGCCUUCACCCUUAUCCUUAGUUUUGAGCCUAUUUGACUUCAAGCCAUGCGUUUGUCCUUGUUAAGUUUAUUCGGCUUCAAGUCGCCUCCUAGUUUUAAGUUUGUUUGGCCUCAAGCCGCACAUUCCCCUCUAUUUGAGUUCAUUUAGAAUUUUCCCCUUCCUCGAGUUUAUUAUGACAUUCUCUUCCUUCAAUAUCAUUUUUUGUGAGUUAAUCACUUCUUAUCUUGGUUGUCCUUGAGUUGUAUGUUGUGUCACGAUCUAGUGUUGUUCAUUGCAUAUACACUCCCCACAUUAUUUGUAUCUUUAUCUUAAGUUUCUUCCUUAGUAUGUGAUCCUGAUCUUUGAGCUUAGCAUGCCAUGUGUUAUGAAAAAAUUAUGAGUUCUCUUUUGUUCUUCAAUGCAAUUCACUUCAUACCAUUCAUCACUCAUGUUUCACUCUUCGUGUUCAGUUCACUCAUGAACUAUAUCAAAUAAGGGCAUAUUUAUAGACCCUCCAUUUUGUCUCAUAGCACGUAUGUUUGCAUUUUUUAUUUUCCUCUCGCCCCAUGCCCAUUUUAAUUUGGUGUCCGUUUGGAUACUUCUUGCUUAAUCAUUCAUCAUCCCUUAUUAGUUCACAUUUACUUGGCUCAUUAAUCAUUUUUUAGCCACAUUUUGGAGGCCAUUUAGGGCGAUUUUGGGUCUAAGCUUUUUUUUUUUAGAGGCUCUCAGUAGAUGGCUCAUAAUGAGGACACGUGUUUUUAAAGGGGUCUUCUAGAGGCUUCUAGGGUCAGUUGGGAGAGCACGUUCUUAUUUAUAUAUCUAUUGUUUUGGAGGUGAGUUGUACACCAAGAGAAUGAGGGAGUAGAUGGAGGUUUUUUAAACAUUGUAAGAGGAGAUUCGUUUUGAUUGGCAUUUAUACCAAUAAAAUCUUGGGAUUACUGAGAACUCAACGGGACCUUCCCUCUCAAAUCAUACAAACUUGGCCAAAGAGGGGUGGGUACCAUUGAGUUCUUAGGCUUUCAUGUCGAUAACUCAAUUCAUCUUAUUACUAAAGGGAUGAACCCAAUCCGGAAUAUGAACCAAAAAAGAAAAUGUCUAUUAAAUUGAUGACAGGAAUACCAGUUACAGUAGCUAUUAGCCAAAAGGAAUCCUUCCAAGUUGGAGGUGGUUAGAGAGAGAGAAGGCUGGGCGAGAGAGAGAGACACGUAAAGAGAAUAUUCUCUCUGGUGAGGGUUUGUUAGACGGGAAGCAAGAAGCUUGAGGGUAGAGAGGACAAUCAGAGGAGGAGUUUGGAGGAAGAGGGGAAGGGAGCUCGAAGGCAAGCAGAUCAGUGCUUGAGGGGACGUUUUUCCAAGUAUGAUUAUUGGGUCUCUCAUUUUCCGCUGUUCUCCUUUCCUUCCCGGUUGAUCUCUGGAUUUUAGUUGAUGCUUUGAUAUGGAUUCCAGAUGCCACACUUCAUCUUGUUGAGCAUUGGUUAGCUAUGGACUUGUUACUGCUACUCUUCUGUUUCUUUUGAGUUAACUUUGGAAAUGAAUCUGAAUAUAGACUGGUAUUUGCUGCUUGAUGUUUCGGGAAUCAUAUUUUAGUUGUUUAAAAUUCAUUCUGGCAUGUUCGGUUCCUUCAAGCUCAUUGAUGAAAUAAUGAAAUGGAGCUCUAUAUAUUUGUUAAUGGGUUGGUUCUCUGUUUGGUUAUCUUUUAAGUUCUUCCUCUUCUCUUUUCUCGUUGCCUUCUCUUCUCUAGGGGGGUGUCGUUUGAGCAUAUGCAUACUAGGAGAAAUGGGGAGCUGGAGGCUUAUCCUGGCAUCAACCUCGCGUUGGGGACGGCUUGAUCGAAGAACAUAUGAAUUUUUCAGAUACCUAGAACUUACAUCAAAAGAAGCCUCGGAGUCUAGGUCAAACACAAACACAUCCUUUGCCUUGGUGAUUUUAUUGACUUCUGCAUGAUGGGCACCCGAGGGUGGGGACUGGAAGAGAAAUGAUGAAUCUGCCUAAUAUAGUUUGUCUAGAAAGGAGCUUGUAUUAAAUGAUGGUUACCCACUGUGUCAGAUGCUGAAAUCUGGGUAUGAGGACUCCCGGUGGCAUCGGAAAGAUGAGUCGCACCAUUCUUCCCACAGUAGAAAGCUUGACCUCCGAAUUUGGGCUUUUUCAUGGCCAGACGAGAGGAGUGAUCGCAAUAGUGCGAGCAGAGCCAGUCAAAUUAAGCCUGUUAUCAGAGGAGUGAACCUACUGCCUUGUUCUAUCUCCGAUGGUCUGCUCAGCUCCUUCAACCUCCACCGCUCUCCUCUUUCCAAGUUCUCCAUUUUCAGUCUAGAGCCAACAAGAGUCGCAGAAAUCCUCAAAGAUUGACCUACAUGGUAUCGUGAGUACCUCGAUGUGGAUGUUCUUAAUGAGUUGUCAACUGGAGCCAAAUGGGUGUUUGAUAAGACCCAGUGAAGAUGUAAAAAUUAUAUAAUGAAGCUUGCAGAAAGACUCAAGGGUUGAUGGAAGGCAUCUCAACGAAGUUUGGCUUUUGUAUUGUGAAUCUGGCAAAUUACCUAUACUGCAUGGAUCAUCACUCUUUUCACGUGGAGGUACACAUGUCCUUUGUACUGUACACUUGGGGCAUCACAACCUGGUGAUGAUCAACGACUGGAUCCUCUGGUUGGUCCUCCAACAAAGCGCUUCAUGCUUCACUGAAAUUUCCCGGAGUUCUCGAUUAACGAAGUUGGCCAGCUUCUUAACCUGCACUGUUCCACAGAAGUCGCAUAAAGAUUUGACAUUGAAAUUGAUGUGGUUUUUCCUUUGCCAAUGGUGGUGGGCGCGCUUUGUAUGUAGAUUCCGAAGGAACUUCCAACUUGAUGGCUGUGAGUGGUAAUUAGGUUGGAGAAGAAACUACUGGGUCUGCCCCAUUAGUUUUCCAUUGUUAAGGUAGUUUGGUGCACAGCUUUCUGGAUCAUCUACACCACCAGCACCUCCAGCCGCCUGUUUUGAUCAGUUUCUGGAUUUCCAUCUCCAAAUUGUGCAAGCAGCGACUGAUUUGGUGUCCAUACAAGCGGCUACUGAAAUGGUUCAAACCUCAAAUGCUGAAGGGAAAGGAGCUUUUGGAAAAUAUCAUGAAGAAGACUCACCCAUCUUACAUGAAAUUAUACACAACUCCAUGGACCAGAACCGGAACUCAGACUUAAAUUUGUCCAAGAGAAGAUCAGUGUUAUACAAGUCAAUUGCAGUCAUUCCUGAAAGAAGUGAUCAGAAGAGUAAACCUGGAAAAGCAGCGAGUGAAACAAGGUCUGUGACAUUGAACAAUUUGCAGAUGGGUGUUCCCACAAGCUCCUUUCCCCUCUUCCCACGUGCAUGAAAUUCCUACAUGCAUGGCCACCUUCUUAGGUGUGCAAUUCGGUGCAUAUGCUCAAGCGUACUACCCCCCUCUUCUUUUAAAAAAAAAAUGAUUUUAAAUUUAAAUUUUUGACAAAUUCAUUUCCCUUUUAAAAUCCCUCCUCAGUAAUUCUCUUCAAAUUAAUAAAAUCUAUUUUCAAUAAAUUUCUGCUGUCAUCUUCCUUUUGGCGUGGACCAUUUUUCUAUUUUCUUUGAUUUUUAAUAAUUUUCUGAUUUUUUUUAAUAAAUAUGAAUAAAUUCUAUGUUUUUUAAAAUAAUGGAAUUUUCUCCAAAUUUCUAUUAUCUUUUUCUCCGAGAUCAUUAGGAAGAUGAAAUUCCUAAAAUUAAUUCAUGCAAAUAAAUUGGACGUUGGUGGGUCCAACAUAUGAAUUUUUCUCUUUUGAUUAUUAAUUUUAAUUGCUACGCUUGAUUGAUUAAUGAUUGAUCUCUACCUUGCUCUAACAUACAUAAGAUUUAUUGUGUUUGUGAUUGUACACUAACCAUGUUUCCCACGAAACGCUCAACUUAUUGCUAUUGUACGUUCCUUCCUUCUCCUAUUUGUUUAAGUAUAGCUCAACCAUAAUACAUCACUGAUAAUUACUUGGUAUCUAUUGAUUUUUUGAUCAAUUGUCAUAUACCUUAACGUAAUUAUCAGAGACCUGAUUUUAGGGUAUAGAGGGGUUUUACAACUUAUUAUCGUACCUUUUCAAUAAGUAACCUGACCCUCGAACCCAAACUCGGUUUUUUAUAAACCUGUACUUUCCUUUCAAGUUUCAUAUUUAGAGUUUUAUUUUUUAUUUUGUUUUCUAUUUAAAAAUAAAAUAAAAAUAAGUGUCAAAUUUAAAACCAUAUUUUCUAAAAAUCAAUUGUUCAUCAAUUUAAACUGAGUCUUGUCUUCUUUUUUUUUUUUCAAGUGAGGACAUGAUCUCAGGUCCACAAUACUAUUUUAAUAUAUAUCAUGAAAUAUAGAUAUUAACGUCAUCUUAAAGAUAUAAUUAAAUUUUUUGUUUAAAAUAAAUUAUAAUAAUUUAAAAAUAAUAUUUUAUUUAAAAUAAAUUUUAGAAUAAGCAAAGUUAAUAAGUGGACAUAGAGAAUUAUGAACCAUUGUAAAUGUAUUGAUUAUAUCUCUUUCUUCCCAUUUCAUUUUUACUCUAGUUUUUAUUAUUCGCAUCUUUUUCUACUAAAAUUUGAAAAAGAAAUUCACAUUCAAUUCAUUCGCUUCUUCUUGGGUGUAUGUCAUAGGAUUCAAAUUGUUUUUAAAAAAUAUUAAAUUUGUUAAUUGUGGCUAUAUGCUUAUUUAGGAUCCAUUCAUCUUAAUAACUCUCUUCCCGAUAUAGGAAGAAAAUGGCUAUUCCAUUAAUCCAGCAUGCAUUGCUGAUUAUUUAUCAAGCAAAUUACAUUAUUAUUUUCACACCAAACCUCCAAAUUCUCCAUGCAUAUACGCAUCCUAUACUGCAUGGCCAACUUCAGAGAGCUAAAACAAGCUCUUAUUGAAUUCAUGAUAGAUGAUGUCCCACUGACCCUUUUACUCUGAUACCUUGAAAUGAGAAAUUUGGAGGUUUUCCACAUCAAGCUUUUUGAAACUACUGCGCCUUCUCGUAACAAAGAACUUUCCCUAGUUGUAUGCUCUAUACUUUGGCUUUUCCCCCUUCGUCAGCUCCUCCAAGGGCUUCACCCAAACAUGGUGCCCGGGACUGAAAAAGAACGGAAUUGAGAACCUUUCCCCCUCUGAAUUCACCAUCACCCUGUGCUCCACACUUUCAAAAGUAUCGUUGCUCCAGACCUGGUUUAAUAUCAGUAUAAUUAGCCAAAUGGGUGUAAAAUUCCUUGAGCCAAACAGUACUGAUAAGCAUGUACUUAUAAUUUAAAGUUCUUGUGUGGGACCUGAACUAUAUCCCCAACGUUGAUGAUAUAAGUAUCUGGGGUGGGCUUCACUCGAACCCAUUCUCCAUUGGUUUUUAGCUUUACUUGCAGCCCUCCAACAUCAUCCUGGGCAAGGAUGGUUAAGGCUACGCCAUCCUUGUGGCGUCCAGCGCCCAGAGCUAGGUGAGGGAUGGGGCAAGGUGGGUAGUGAUUGAAGCGGAUGAAGUUUGUUGAUUCUUCAAAGAGAAGAUUGAAUCUGUUCUCUGGAAAACCUAAGCUCAGAGAGAUGAGUCCCAACAGCUUGAAAGCUAG